This 58416-nucleotide long non-coding RNA is filed under the name Vitis vinifera (wine grape). Its description in RNAcentral is "long non-coding RNA (VVIN_LNC001328)". The record is from RNAcentral. Lineage: Eukaryota; Viridiplantae; Streptophyta; Magnoliopsida; Vitales; Vitaceae.
AAAGAGUUUUGUUGAAGCAUGGAGAUUCCGGCGAGAGUAUCUGACACACGCCCACCUGAAUCUGACCCAUAACGACGAAAAUGUCACUGUUACUCUCGCUUACAUGCCCGUUGGGAAUCACUCGCUAGAUCAUCCAAGCGACCUUGAUUUUCAGCCUCCCUUUCCUGCUAAUCUUACCCACACUGAACCCGAACCAAAACCGGAACCGGUACGGGAGCCGGAACCGGAACCGGUACAGGAAUCGGAACCGGUACAGGAACCGGAACCAGCCUUUGUCCUCGGUUCAUCUGAAUCGUAUCAGAAUCUGACCCAGCCCAGUUGGAUUUCCGUUGAGUUGGAACCGAAUUUGACGUCGAAUCUCCUUGCCCGGUGGCUAGCUCCAGGAGGUGAGCCGUGUAGAGAUAUACGUAGCGUGGAGAUUGCUAUUCCCGGUUUGGAUGGUCGACAAUCUAUUGAGCUAUCCGCCGCAGAAGUCCACGAGUUUGUUUUUCAUGCAUUGGAUGAUGCCGGAAAACCCCUUUGUUUGGGUGGCGAUUACUUUGAAACUGAUCUUUCUGGCGAGAUAUGGAAGUCUCGGCCGGUGGUUAAGGAUUUCGGCAAUGGUUCAUACUCUUUGUCGCUUCAAGUACAUCCUGAUUUUGCCGGAAAUUACAAUCUCAGCAUAACCCUCCUUUUCCGGCAUUUCGAGGGUCUCAAAUUGUCGCCGGGGCGAUUCGCCUACGACAGAGAGCUUCGUAGGAUUCCGAUCAAGUUCUACAACACCACAGCUCAGUUGCCGGAACUGCAAACAUGUCGAAAAUCGGACUUCACUCGAGAAGUCUGGUCCGGAAGAUGGACGCGGCACGGUAGGAACGAUGAUUGCCAGAUCAGCAACGAUGGCCGUUACCGGUGUCUACCGUGGAACUUCCCGUGCCGGAAUCCUUGGUGCGACGGCUCAUUGGGAAUGUUGGAGAGCAAUGGGUGGGUCUACUCUGCACAUUGUUCAUUCAGAUUGUUCUCGGCUCAUUCCGCUUGGAACUGCUUGAAGAAUCGAUGGAUUUUCUUCUGGGGCGAUUCGAAUCACGUCGACACCAUCCGAAACAUAUUGAACUUCAUCCUCAAUCUGCCCACUGAAUCGGUUCCGAGACGUUUCGACAUGAAUUUCACGAAUCCGAAAAACCCCUCCCAGACCGUUCGCAUUACCAGCAUUUUCAAUGGGCACUGGAACGAAACCCUGAACUACCAGGGCUUGAACUCUCUCAAAAACGACGCCUUUCGAGACCUGUUGAAGAGAUAUUUCAACGAGAGUACGGUGCCUGACACUAUCAUCAUGAACUCAGGCCUACACGACGGCAUUUAUUGGCAUAAUCUUAGGGGUUUCACUGUUGGUGCGAGAGAUGCGGCGUCCUUCUGGGCCGAAAUCUUGGAGUCGAUCAGACUUAGGGGGCUGGUGCCGCCCAAGGUCAUAUACCGAACCACCGUAGCGACCGGGGGUUACGCGCGGACGAUGGCCUUCAAUCCCAGCAAGAUGGAGGCGUUCAAUGGGGUUGUGUUGGACAACUUGAAGACCGCCGGCCUACUCUCCGGCGUCAUCGACGAUUUCGACAUGACAUUCCCCUGGCACUUCGACAACCGGUGUAACGACGGCGUUCAUUACGGCCGGAAGCCGGCGAAGAUGAAGUGGAGGGACGGCCAGAUCGGCCACCAGUACUUCGUCGACAUAAUGCUGGCGCACGUGCUGCUGAACGCGCUCUGCGCAAGCUAGCACGAAAAGGGAAGCUGAUGCUAAGACGCGCCAGGGCGACACUUUCUCCAUCCGUUAUGUUCACUCAAAUCAGGAAGACUUCCCACGUGCAGCAUUGGGCCGCGCCCCCGAUCCAGAAUGCCCUGCUCUAAUGCGACAACAUAGUUGCGGUGGCCUUUGGCCUCCCCGCUUUACACUCCACACUUAUUUUGACAUUUGUUGAUUUUUUAUUUGUGAUUAUUGAUAUAAUUUUUGUCAAGUUUAUGUCCAUGACUUCUCCUUAGACCAUAUAUAUAUAUAUAUAUGUGUAGAUAAUUUUUUCCUAUAGUAAGAUGUAUUUGUAUUUCCUGAAUUAUAAACGCUACCAAAUGAUAAUUAGAAUUGAAAAGUCACCUCAUUUGUUCUAUGAUUCCAUCCGUUAAAUAUUUUAACUUAAAUCAAUUUUGUUACAUUUUAUUGAUGUUGAAAGUCAAACUGUUUGAUCAGCUUAUCGGGUUGAAAGUUAUAACAUGUCAUAAUUUUUAUUCACGAGUUUAUUCUUAUUAUAUAUUUAAUUCUUUCAUACACGUGCGUAUGCAUAGUUAUAAGAUUGAAAUCGGAAUGUCUUCUCUCUUUUUAUAAGAUUGGAACGGAUUAACCAUUAAGCAACUUUACAAAACAAUAUGUUAAUCAAUAAUUUUAAUUUGUGGUGCAAUGUCUCUUAGAUUUGGACAUUUGGAGAUGAAGGUCUCCACAAUUCUCUUCUUGUUAGCUGGGAUUAAUCAGAUAAAGUAAUUAAUUAUAGAACAAGAGUCUUUAACUUUGUGAAAUUGUCGUUUAGCAUAUAAAGUAUAUGCAAGCUGUCAUGCGCUAUGAGGAAGAAUUAUUAGGACUUAAUCACAUUCCAUCUUUUCAAUAAAUAAUAAAUAUGGGGCAACGACAUUUUCACUUUUAGCUUUUCUCCUUUUUUAUAAUGAUAGUCCGGCAAUUUCCCUGAAAUGGGGUGAGUAUAGAAUUCUAUUUUAUAUUCAUACUUAAUUUAAUUAAAAAAAAUUGACAAGUAGUCAUGGGUUUAUUUACUAACUGAAAAACAUUUCUAAAAAACAGUUUUUAAAAAUUAUUUUAUGAUUUUUAAUUUUUUAUAGAACAAAAUUCUAUUUAAAAGCCUAAAUUUUUUUUAACAUGUUUUAAAUAUUUUAAAAAUAACUUUUAUAUCUAAUAUUUUAUUUUAAAUAUAUUUUUAAAUGAUAAUAGAAAAACAAAUAAAAAGAAUUUUUAGUUAUUAAAUCGUGUUUUUUUUUUAUGUUUUUUUGUUUUAAAGAGUAAAAAACUAUUCCAAACAAGCCCUACUCUUAUUUUUUUUCUUUUUAAGAGAACGUGUAUAGAAAGUUUUAAAUUUAUAAUAAAUAUAAAUAUAUUACAUGUCAAUGAAAAUAAUUAACAUAUCUUUUUUAGCAUAACAAAAUAUUCUAAUAUAAAAAUAUUCAAACAAAAUUGCCAAUGGUAAAUCGUUCUCCUUUAAACAGAAACAACAUAUGGAACUUUUUAAUGGAAAUUUUAUUUUAAAAUAUUAAUAAAAAGGGUUAUUCAAAAACAAUAUCUAUAAAAAAAAAAAUAUAACACUUUUGGUAUACUCCGUUCUGUCCUUCUUCUCUAUUCUUUCCCGAAAAGCCUUCACUUUUUUCAUAUUGAGUUCAUCUUUUUAAAAAAUAAUUCUUUUUUUUUUUUAACUCGUUUUUUUAAAAAAUGAGUUCAUUUUUGUUUUUACGUUGAACUCAUAUUUUCAAAAGACAAGCUCCACUGUAAUCCAACUUGUAGAAUUUUGUGUUUUUUUUUUUUUUUUUUUUUUUUCAAUUGUUGUGCUUGUGCAAAUUGUUGGGUUUGGUCAUUUAAUUUGAGUUCGGAUUGAGCCCAUAUAGAGUUGGGUUGGGCCCCAGUUUCUAUUGCGGUUGGGGCCUAAAAUUCUUAUUGGGCUCGUCCGAUCCCCAAUCGUGGCUGUGUCCUGUCUAUAGGGGUUUCUCAAGUAGGAGUAUCCUUUCAAACAUUUUUGUGGUUGUUUGUAAUGGUGUCUAGUCAUUGGCACAGGGAUAUUGAAUUAGGAAGCCAAUAUUUAAGGAUUUAUUUUUAUAUUUUAUAUUAAACAAGAAAAAUAAAUGCUGACACCUUUUAAGUAAGGCCCAACAAAAAACAAAGAGCAAAGGGCAUUAAUGUUCAUAUUUAAAUCAAUAAGAAAUCGAAAUUAAAUUAAAAUGAUUUGUUUUUUUUAAGGGAAAUUAUAUAAAAAUAUAUAGUAUAAACAAUACAAAAAAUUGUAGGCAUAUUUGAUAAAUAAAUUGAAAGUUUGUGUUUUAUGAUAUUACUCUUAAUAAAGCUCGAUCUUAGCAUUAUUGAAUUUUCUUCCCUAUCACUCCUAAUCCUUGUGAUAGGUAGCUCUUUCUCUUUUUGUGCUCUAAUGAAUUAGUCUUAAUAUGAUUUAUAGUUUUGAAGUUUUUUCUAAGGAAUGGGACAAAAGUAUUUCUAUAAUCAUCUACCAUAACAAAGACAUACUUCUUACUAUAUAUGUUAUCCUACACAUAAGACCCACAAGCCCCAUAUGUAAUAGAUUAGGUGCCCUAGAAGUCCUAAUGUCUUCAAUUAUGUGAUCCUUUCACUUGCUUAUUCAUUCAUGUGCCAUAAAUUGAGUUAUUAGGAGCACUUAACCUAGGGACGCCUCAAAAUAGUUUCUAAUGACCAUGUUGACUAAAUCCUAAAAGUUUAUUUGUCCUAACUUCUUAUAUCAUACAAUAUACCAUGUCCGACUUUAGCAGCAAUACAAGCCAAGGGAGAACUUGGACCAAAAUUAAUUACAUAACAAUUAUUUAUACUUCUAUAUCUAAUGUAAACACUCCUCAUUUUCAUCUAAGAUCUUACAUUUAUUUUAGAAAACUUGACACCAUGAUUACUAGCACAAAUCCAACACUAAUUAGACUAGAUUUCAAGCCUUCAUCAUAAGAAUUUAAUUGAAUUUAAGAUACCUGAGAAACCAAGGUUUGGUUAAUCUCAGUUUUGAUGAUAACAAAAAAAGAUUUAGAAUUAAUGAUUAUAUUUCAAGUGUGAUUAGGCAAGACGAUUUCUAAAGUGACAAUCACAAAGACAAUUCAAGCCAAUGAGAAAUCAUGAAGAAGAAGAUCACCUCAAAGAGAAGUAUUUUUCAAGACCCAAACUUUAAAAAAUCUCUUUGUAAGGUUGUUGGUACACUAGGAUUUUCAUGCAUUAUAUUCUUUACUUAUGCACCAAAAUCAUCCAAUAGUUAUUUUGUUUUAAAUAUUUUAAAAAUUGGAUUAUUUUAUGUUUCAACUAAAACCUUAUGUCAAAUGUCUUUCCAACUUGUUUUAAAGGUUUUAAGUUGAAAAAACUAGUUUUUUUAGCCAAAAAUUGUUCAAUCAGUUGAACCGGAUGAGAAAUCGGUCGACCGCCAGCUCAACCGGUCAAGGGUAUGAACAGUAACUAGUCGACCCCCCAGCUCAACCGGUCAAAGUUGAACCUUAACUGAUCGAGGUCCGGUCAAGGUCCAACGGUCACUUGCCAAGCAUUAAAUGCUAACGGCUAGUCAACCGAUCGACCCCCAACUCGACCAGUCGGACCCCCAACUCGACCGGUCGGACCCCCAACGCUAGUUUGACUUUUUUCUUCUAUAAAAAGGCUCUAAUCUUCAUUGUUUCAUGAGCUCAACCUUCCCAAACCUUCCCAAACUUUUCUUGAAUAUAUUUGAACCUUAGAAGAGUGUUUUUUAGUGUACCAUUGUUCUAAAACUUGCAUAUCCUUAGUGCACCAUUCAAUCCUAGUUUUCUUGUAUCAUUUAAGCUUAAAGUUUUUGUAUUACGAUUUUGUGAAAUCAUUUAUUUGUAUAUCUUUGAGAGGAAGAUUUUCAAGUGUGGGGUAUCACUUGAGAGGUUAUUCAAGAGUGAAGUAUCUCUUGAGGAUUGUAAAGGGUGCUUAGAACCAAAAGUCCAAAAGGAUGGAUUGGAACCAUAAUCCAAUUGUAUUGCUUGAAGGCUUGGUUUGGAAGCCUUGAAGUAGUGGAACCUCAAGUUUAGGAUUGAAGCUAGAGGAAAGUGGAUGUAGGUCAGAUUGCGCUGAACCACUAUAAAAUCUUGUGUUUGCAUUCCCUUUUCCGUACUCUUUUAAUUUAUAUGCAAUUGUUUUUAUAUUAUUUAUUAUAUACUUGCAUAUAAUUGUCUCCUACAUUCAUAUAGUUUAAAUUUGCAAAAAAAGACCAUCACCCUAUUCACCUCCCUUUUAAGGUGAUUACCAUAUGUUAGAUUGAUCUAAUUUUUCUAACAAUACCCUAGAAUACAUAUAGUGUAAAAGUGACUUAUCCCAUAUUGUUGCUUAGAACACCCAUUAUCAAAAUACAAAUUACUAAGUGUUCUGACCCUAAGUGUAGUGAGUACUAUAUUACACCUAAGUCGAUCUUUCCUAACUCAAACCUGACUAAUAUUCAAAGACCUUUUUACUUAACUUUUCCUACUUUCUAGACUUAAGUGGAAGACUUAUUACUUUUCUUUGUGUUCAAGAUAUAGUUCUAAAGAAAAAAUUGAAACCUAUUGAAAAGCUUGUUAUAUUACCUACUUUGGUCAUGUCCAAACUUAUUAAAAGACCUAGUGAUAGAGAGUGUUUCCACAAAAAAGAGCUACUUCAUUGGCUUUUUAUAAGGGUUGUUUACCUACUAGUGGCAGUAUCCACCUUAGUAAUAAUGCCAUAUUUGUUUUUGGUUGAUUUCCCAUUUUUUAAUGAUUUCAUUGAGGAUUUUAGAGUUGGAUGAAAUCUCUCAUUAGUACUUGUCAUGUCCUUCCCAAUAUUUUCCAAUUCAAAUGUUAAAAUAUUAUUUUUAUCAACUAUCGUAUUAUGUUAUAUAUAUAUAUAUAUUAAGGUGUCUACUCAUUAAGUGGAUUAGCAUUUUCAUUUUUUAGUGCAUCAUUAAAUUCUUUAAUUUUUAUUGCCUUCCUACUCAUUUUAAUACUUCCAUCUUUGAUUUUUAGGCUUUCUUGCAUUAUAGGCAACAUGAAUAUUAUAUAAAAAAAGAAAAAGGAAAAAAUCAAACUUAUUUUUAUCAUUUUGAUUAAUUUUCUUAGAAGGAUCAUAAUUAGAAUUAGUAAUAAAUGCAGCAAAUACAACCAAAUUAUUUUUGUCUUUGCUUUCAUAAGAGUCAUAUAACUCAUGAUCAUCAACCUCAUUACCACUCCAAGUCACUUGCCUGACUUUCUCGCUACCUUACAAUUAAAACAUUCAAUUCUUUUGUUUUUAGAUGAAUCCUUCUCUUUUUCCCUUAGCCUAGUGUGGUUUUUUUUUUCGAGUCCUAAUUUUGUGAUAAUUUUUUGUGAGCUUGUAUUGUUUUCUUAAACUUUUUAUUAAAAAAAAAAAAGGUUUAGAAAAAGUUAAACAUUAUUAAUUUGAUUCCUCAUAAUUAUUACCUUCCUCCAAUAAAGCUUUAGCGUCGUACCCUUAGACUUCUAGAAUUAGGUAGGGAUAUUUCAUAACUUCAAAGGAAUCUCACAAGUUCAUCAACUCUUAUAAAGUCAAUAUCUUUUAUUUUCCUCUAUCAUAGUUACAUUAGGUCCAAAUUUCUCAAAGAGAAAUCUAAGGAUUCCCCUAACUACCGUAAAUUUAGGAAUCUUCUCAUCUAGAUUGAAACUUGUAUUAGCAAUAUUACGUAACUCGACAUAGUUUUUUACUUUUUUUUAAAUGUUUUUGUUUGUAUUAUGAUAUUUUCAAACUUAGUUGGCAACAUUUUGGAUUAUGGAGAACUUUAUAGUAGAAGUGCCCUCAUGAGUAACAAAUAAUAUAUCUCAAGCUUUUUUAGCGCACAUUUAUAUAUCAUUGUCUUGUGGAUUUCAUUAGGACUCGCACUAUUAAAAAGCUAUAGAGAGUAUAACGUUUACCUCAUUGUUUUCGUUAUUAAGUUUAUUGCCUCCUCAUUUGAGCUUACAUUCACCAAUGGAUCUUCUAGUCCAAUUUAACUUUAAUGGAGGUCCUCAUCCAAAUACAACACAAUUUAAAAAUUGUUUACUUUACACUUUGAAAAAAAAAUAAAAAAUUAUGAUUCCACGUAGAGAAAAUAAGGGGUGGAUAGGUGUAUAUUGAUUUUUUUAAUCUUAAAAUUUAAUUUUCGAUCAAAUAUGAAUUACUUUGAUCAUAUUGUGAUAUAUAGGAAUAAAAAUAAAAAUCCAAUUAUACAUAUGAUGCACAAUGUACAUGCAAAACCAUCUAUAGGGUCUAUUAAAAACUCUCCAUAUAUAUAUAAAAAAAUGUGGGUCUAAUAGAUUUUAAAGAAAAUUCACUAAUUUUAAAUGAACAAACAUACAAAUGUACUUGGAUCAAAUGUUAUCUUCCAUCAAGGGUCUUAUAAUGUCCUAUAUCUACACUUAUCUUUACAUCAUUGAUACAACACCUUGCACUCUUUAAUGAAUGGUCGUUGACCACAAUUUUAUCUCAAAAAAUGAGUCUGACUUUUUAGAGUGUCCGAGGUUAUGUGAAAGAAUAAUGACAAUAACAAUUUAAGACAUAUGCAUUUUUCAACAUUAUUAGGUUUAUAUAGUGAACCAUAUAUAAUUGGGUUUCAUAACAUAUUUUUAAAACAUGAAAAUCUAAAAAAUAUAAAUAAAAGUACGAAAAUUACCUGAAUGUUUGAGCUCUCACGAGAGCCACUUAAGCACUCCCGUGAAAUUCUCCCUUUAAUAAAAAUAAAUCAUCAUUUCUUUGGAAUAUUAUUUAUGAAUUAGUGAAAAAACAUCAACGAUCCUCUAAUAACAUUUAUAAGAAUUAGAUCUAUUAUGUAAAUAAAUGAUGAAUAAAAAAGAAUUACCUACUUUUCUUCUAUUUUUUAUUCAUAUAAGAAACUAAAUAAGAAGCAUGCACACAACCAACAUUGAUAAUCUCACACUUUGAAAUGAAAUAUUUACUUAUCAAAUAAAUGCAACUUUAAAUUUAUGUCCAUAAAUUAUUUUUCCAUUUUUAAGAAGAUGUUAAAAAUUUUUGAAGCACAUCUUGGACGGGCUUUGAAACUUUCCUUUACAGUUUGGAUUGCCUUAGAAAAGUGUCAAUCCUAACAAAAUUAGUGUUGGACUUGGAUUCAAAUUUAGUCAACUUGAUUUCCUUCUACAUUUUUUUAAUGCUUGCUUUGGAAAUUGCUUGGAAGUGUCAUAUAAUUUUGCCUAAUCAUAUUUUUUAUUUUUGUUUUAUAUAAAGUUUUUAAUUCAUUAGUCAUUCAAUGUAAGUUGAUAAUACAUUGAUUUAAAAUGAUUAAUAGUUUAAUAGUCAAUUUUUUUAUUACAUUUUUUUUAAUUCAACAAAACAUGAGUUAUCUCGAUUACAUGACCUACUCAAACCUAUCAACUAGGCCCCUAUAAUAAUAAAUUAAGUUUUUUAAAAAUAAUUUUUAUGUUUUUGUUUUUUCGUGAGAAGUUAGAUUUAAUUUGAUAACUAUUUUUUGAAAAACAAUUCUAAAAAUUAGUUUUUACAAACAAUUUUUUAAACUGUUUUUUGAUUGAAAUAUUUUUAACCUAUUUUUAAAAUUUUUAAAAAUAAUUUUUAUGUACAGAACUUUAUUUUUAAUAAUUUCUCAAAAAAUAAGUAAAAAUAACUAAAAUUUAUUAUUUAAAAAAUAUCUCAUUUUAUAUUUUUAAGAAUAAAAAUAAAAACAAUUUUCUAGUCUGUCAAAAUCGUUUUUUGUUUUUCAAAAAAAAAAAAAAAACAAAGAAACAUGUAUGGUAACUAGAAAACUGUUUUUUGUUUUUUAUUUUUAAUAAUAUAAAUAAAGUGUUUUUAAAUAAUAUUUUUUUAUGUUAUUUUCACUUAUUUUUUUAUAAUUAUUUUUAAAAAUAGCUAUAUAAACAAAUAAAAUUAUUAAAAAUAAAACACUAAAUAUAAAAAUUAUAUUUAAAAAUAUUUUACGUUAUCAAAUAAAUUUUUGUUUUACAAAAUAUUAUAAAAUAGUUUUCAAUAAUUAUUGAAAAUUCUCAAGAACUAUUUUUCUGAAAUAUUUUUGAAAGCAGGUAGAGUGUAAGUUUCAUAAUCUUAAAUGAAUUAAAAAGGGAAAAAAAUUACUAUUUUAUUUUAUUUUAUUAUUAAAUAAAUUUAAAUGGAGUCUAGAAAACGAAUUUACAUUACAAUUGGGUUAAAUGCUGGACCGAGCUACGAUUGGAUAGUGAGCCUUCGUAUUCAAGUUAAGCAAAGUCACACGCUAUUGAUAGAAAAACUUAUGCACGAAAGAUACUUUUUUUUUUCUUUAAAAAUAAAUAAAUAAGUAAAAUCUGAUCACAUGUUUCCCAAAUUGUUCCGGAAACGUUUCCUAAUAAUAAAUCAUUUUUAAAAAGCUAUUUUCGCUAUUGAUAGAAAAACUUAUGCACGAAAGAUACUUUUUUUUUCUUUAAAAAUAAAAAAAAUUAAAAUUUAAAAAGUAAAAUCUGAUCACAUGUUUCCCAAAUUGUUUCGGAAACGUUUCCUAAUAAUAAAUCAUUUUUUAAAAGCUAUUUUUUUGACUCAAAAGAUAUAAAAAUGUGUUUGAAAAUUUCAAAAAUGUUUCCAUCCGAGUAUUUGCGAUUUUUUUAUGGAUAGAAACAAUAUUAUGGUAAGUUCCAAAAAUGACCCCACUUUUAAAAUGUUUCUACAAGACUGAAACCAUUAAUUAAUUAAUUUUAUAUUUUUUCCAUUUUGAAAAGAGGAUAUUACACUUCUCUCCCUGAGAUUUGGUUUACCUAUUUGGGCGCCUAAGGUUGAAGACAUUAAACUCGCUUUCCUCGAAGUUUGCCGUUUGACCCCAGACCCCAUCACAUGUUAUUUAUUUAUUAUUAUUCUCUUUUUAUUUUUUUCUAUGAUAAAUAAUUUUUUAUUUUAUUUUGGAUUUUAGCUUGGAACCGAUAAUUUCAAGACAUCAAUAAGUGAUAGAAUUAUGACUUGUAUGUGAAGCUAUUUGAAGUGAUAAUUUCAAAAUAGUGAUGAGAUAUGUUAUCUGGAUAAAUAUUUUUAUCGAUAUCUUAAUUUCAAAGGUGUAAUAAGGAAUACUCUCCCCACUUGUAUCAUAAGUUAAUUUUGAUGUAACAUCAUGUAUAUCUUUCGAUGGAUGUGGUGGACCCUUUCUUUAAAAAAAAAAAAAAAUCAUUUGCUUUUAUUUAUUUAUUUUUAGUGUUACUUUUCAAUUUUUAUAAAAAAAAAAUUAAGAUAAGUAUUUGAUAAAAUUUAAUACUUAUUAAUUAAUAACUUAAGUUUAUUUUAAAUUAAAAUAUAUUUAAAUUGUUAACUUAAAACUUAUUACUUAAUUAUUACUUUAAGUAUUAGAGUUAUUUGAUAAAAUUUAUUAUAAAUUAUCAAAUUUUCACAUUUAUCAUCAUAAAUUAUAAUUAAGAUAAAGAAAGUUCAGUAACAAUGAAAGUGGUAGAGUAAUAAAAGAUUAUGUAUAAGUAACUAUAGUAAAUGGAGAUUAAAAAAAAAAAGAAUAAAAUGAAUAUGUGAAUUUAAAAAUAAGUUAAUUAUUUUUAUUUUUUUAUUUAAAUUUUAUUUUUUAUUUUAAUCAUAUUGUUAUUAAGUUGAUUUAUCAGACACUCACUAAGUAUGAUAAAAAUAACUAUUAUCUCACAAUCUCUUUAAAAAAAUUUAAGUUAUUGGAUGACUUAUAAAUGAUAAAAUUAGAAUAUGAGCAAUAGAGUAUUUAGUAAAUUAAUUUAAUAACUUAAUAUGAUUUAAUGACUUAUUUAAGUUAUUAAGUAUGUUUGGUAAAAUAACCAAAGAUUAUAACUUAAAAUCGUUUUUAACUUAAAUUACUAAGUUAAAAUAUUUAAUUUAUUUAUAAUCUAAAAUAUUUUUUUAUUUCAUUUGUCCAUAUUAACGAAAAUAUAUUUUAAAAUUAUGAUUUCAUAUCCAUUAUUUAUUUUUUAUAAUAAAUAUUUUACGAUCAUAUGAUAUAUCAAUAACACUAAUAAUCAUGAUUCAUAAAUAAUUUUAUUGUUAAAAAAUUAAUAAAGAUAAUAUAUGAAUUAAAAUAAAUGACAAUAAUAUAUUAGUUAGUAUUAAAAAGGGUAAAUGUAUUAAUUUGAUAAAUAAGAAUAAAUUUUAAGUUUAUUUAUUUAAAUAAUUUUAAUAUUUAAAGUGAAUAAAUUUUAAAUUAAUAACUUAAAAAUAAUUUAACUUAAAAUCAAUUUAAAUUAUUAAAUAAUAACUCUUAAGUUUUACAAAGCAAUCAUAUAAACAAAACAUGCAUAAAUAUAAAUGUAAUACGAUUUCUAAAUCAAUGAUACAACUCUUUCUUAUCAAUAUUAAUGGACGGGAGAAAUUAUUAUUAUUAUUAUUAUUAUUAAAAAAGUGUCUAAUUUAUUAUUAUUAUUAUUUAUGAUUACAAUUAAUUACAUUUUGGACACUCCAAAAAAAUUUAUUUUCAAAAAGGAAUCAAAAGGAAAAGAACCUGGUAAUCACAAAGGGCAAAGAAGCACUUGUUAGUUGUUACAAGUGUCCAAACCCGAACCGGACGUAUGAAAAGAAAAGCGGUUGACGCGCCUGAAUACCUCUAACAGCGAGUCCAGAGUGCAGACGAAGGAAGAACAAGCGGUGGGUGCACGCGCCUAAGGUUGCCUUUAUGAUUUAUCCUGUUGACGUACCCACUCAAAACAAUUGGGGAUAGAGGGGGACGAUAGAGGUGGGGAGAGAGAGCAAUUGUUUUGGAAUUGGCGAAAAGGAAAAGGGUUAGGUGAAAAUUGUUGAUGGGUUCAAAAACGUGAAGCAAAACCGAGGGCCAAAUCGAAAUCUGGCUAACCUUGAGGGGUUGAGGUUUCGCCUGUCCUUCAAGCAAUCAUCAUCGGAUUACAUAGACGGCGACGAGGAGUGCAGGCCGUGGCGUCGCAGGCUUUCCAUGGCCUUCUCAUGGCUCUCUUUUCUCAGGAUCACCUUCCUCCUCCUCCUUAUUGCCGCCAUCGCCGUCGCUUGUUUCACUCUCCCUGUUGAAAAGGUUCGGUUUUCUCCUCUGGGUCUAUUUCCUUUUCAUUUUUUCAUCAUUUAAUGCGUCCUUUUUUUUUUCUUUCCCUUUUUAGGGUUUUGAUGUACUUUUUAAAAGUGGGUUUGUUGUCUGGGUUUCGAUUCGGUGGUUUGUUUAAUUUGUUGUGCCAUUUUGGUUGGCAUUUUGAGUCACUGGUGCUUGCUUCUUGCUGAUUGAAUUCAUUGGUAGGUGAUUCUUCAAAUGUUAGGUUGGCUUGUGAGGCGGGUUGUUGAAUUUGUGAGAGAUAUUACGCUUAUGUGUGUAAAAUCGCAUUGGCAUUUGGUCAUUUGGUAUGAGAUCAUAAAAAACAAACUAUAAAGUGAAUUGAAACAGACGUAAGACUUCAAAUGUGGGAGUCUCGUGUUAGUCUAAAAGGACGUUAAAUGGAAGUGCUGGCUAGAGUUGAUGUGAAUGUGAGGUAAGAGGGCCACUGGGUAGGAGAUGCAAUUAUAAUACUAAAUUCUUCCAGUUGAUGGCUAAUUGGAGAAGGACAAGAAUUUCCGGGGAUGAAUUUGACAAUGUAGACAUAAUUUCAGAAGAUUGUUUUAUGUUGCAACUCUUUUUCAAGUUUUAGAGUUGUAAGAGGCAAAGAGAAAAAUGCAAAAAUUGAUUCAAGUAGGGGAAGUGCUCCAGGGUUGGAUGCCAUUAGCAUCCUCUCCCCACACGCUUCUCUCAUCAGAGUUGAACUUCUGAAAGUGUUUUGUUGAAAUUCAUUAUAACAGUAUUGCAAACUCCACUUCUACUAUGUGGAACCUAAGAACGAUGAGAUCCUCGUUCUUUUGGAUUUCUUCUUCUUUUUUUUAGGUAAAACAAAAGUGUAAAUAAAAAAGGAAGUGCUUAUAGAGUGCCCAAGAUACCCAGGAAGCAUAUAACGGUCACCUAAAGUCUCAUCCAUAAGAAUAAGGGGGCUACUAAAAGGAAUGCCCGUUCUCAAUAAGAACCCAACCAAUCAACAAAGCUAAUUGAAGACAAAGGACCAUCAUCUAUAAGCAUAUUGGUCCAAGAUCAAAGAUUACAAACAAAAGAGUGUUUUAGCCUUUGGGAGGAAUGCUCCUCGUUUUCAAAUGCUUUUCUAUUCCUUUCUCUUGGAUUUUUAGGCCUAGCAGAUUGGCAAACAGUUUACGUAGUUAUGUGCAGAUUCUUCUUUCCCCCAAAAUUUUGAGGGUGUAGUUUUCACUCUUGAAAGGGCUUAAGGUAGUGUUUCCCCUAGUUUCACCUAGCCACUGAUAGAGGUAGAUUAAGGCCAUUUUAACUUAUGCAUAGAUGGUUACAUGGGAGCAUAUUUAAAUGCUCUUCAUGUAUGAGAUUAUGGGCUUGGUGAACUCUGGGAAGGUGUUGGGUCUCCAGGAUUCACAGGUGUGUUAACUUUUUCAUUAAUGGAGGAGCUUCAAUCUGGUAACUUUAGAGUGUACUUUUAUCCUGCUUGGGUAGCCUGUGGUAUCUGGUUGCUUUCUUAGAAUGGGUUUGUAGGGGUGGAUUGAUGUUGACUUGUUUUAUGUUCAAUCUCUCUUCUCUCUCUUUACCCCUCUCCCUCUCCCUUUCCCCCUCAAGACAGCUAACCUUCUCUCUCUUUUUUUUUCUUCUUAGUAUUAUAAUUUUACAUUUUAAAAAAACUUUGGUGCAGUGGGACAUUUCUUUCUUCUUUUCUCGAUCUCAAUGAUAUCUCACCUAGGUUUGACAAUGUAAUAUUUUGCAAAUUAUUCUUUCCUUCUGAUGGGGGAUGCCAUAUAACCACAAACUAAGGACGAUCCUACCAAUCCUGCUUCUUGUUGUUUUAAUGAGGUCUGCCUUUUAACCUUCAUUAAUAGAAUGUUGAUAGAGUUUUGAUUUUAAUUGUAAUGCCUCUUUUUCUUGCAAUUACUGUUCAAAAUCUAUUUGUUCCUUCAAACUUUGAAUCCGUUUCUAUACAUAUGGGCCUGUUCUAGCACCUACCAAAUUUAAAAUUUCACUUGGAUGACUGCUCGACAUAAGAUAAGAAUAGGAGAUGUGUUAAAAAAAAUAAAUAUAUCUAAAUCUCCUUCACCUAAUAUAUGCUUUAUGUGUAAGAGGGCAAAGGGAAUUGCUUGAGCAUCUCUUUCUGUACUGGAGAUUCUUAUUCAGAGGGAAUGAUUCUUCCUCAAAUUGUUGGACGUUCGUUAGGCACCUUUGAGAGGACUUGCUUUUCCUGUGCUACGUUUUCUCCAGUAUUGAAGGUUCAUUGAGUUAGUUGGAUUGUGAAGAGCACUGUGGUGGCUAUCAUAUGGAUUAUUUGGAGAUAGGGAAUAAGCAAACUUUUUAAGUGAGUGCAUAUGCUAGUUUCAUAAUUCUUUUGGGGUUUCAUCAUUCCCAUUUUAUAAAUUGAUUGGAGGGCAAGCUGUGUUUUGCUUACCAAGCUCCUUCAAGCAAGUGUGGUAAGUUUAACUUUGAUGUUUGCUUGGGUGGUGGGGAACAUAGUCAACUAGCAUCGUUAGCUUUUUAGGGGGUUUGUGUUCUGCCAUUUUACUCACUUUGCAAAAGCCUUUUAAGUAAACUUCCAGCAUUUAUUAGGAUAAAAAAAGGGUAGCAAACAAGCCCUUGAAAUCACAUGGAAGAAAUGAUAUUUGUGGGCAUAUUUGUAUCUCAAUCAAGAUUCUGUUGAAGUCCCAAUUUUAAUUUUUCUUUUUUCGAAUACAGCCUAGUGUAACUCAAUGUCUUUUGCAUCAGACUAUCACCAUUUACAUUGAUACUUAAGAAUGUAUUGGGAAGUUUCUUCUGUUAUGAUUCUUUUUCUUUUUCUUUGUUUUUUUUUUCCAUGAAUAUUUUUUUCCAAUCAUGUAGAUAAAUUGAAUAUUUUGGGAUUAAUCAUAGUAUCAUUGCUGACAAUGAUGUUUAUGUUUUUUUUUUCUGAAUUUCAAUUUUGAAAAUUUUAUACCUUCAUUGUGAUACAUUGCUGAAAAGAAUUGCUUGUUACAGAUUCUGAAGGACUUCUUAUUAUGGAUUGAGCAAGAUCUUGGACCUUGGGGUCCGCUUGCGCUGUAAGUGAGUUGCAGUAUUUUUUUGUUCACUAAUUUACCUUGUAGCAAAUCCUUGUGUUUAACCCAUCUUUUAUAUGUUGUGAAAGUUUUGUUUCGUUUCGUUUUUUUUUUUUUUUUCAUCAUUGUUGUGAGAAUGGUUUAAGUGCAGUUGCUUCUUAUUGAUGGAACAUGUUAAAAGGUAGUUUGUCAAAGUAUGUGAUGGCAUCUGAAUGAGCCUUUCCUUUUUACUUCACACCUUGUAUGACUUUAUUUGACAUAGGUAUGGUAAUCCAAGUUUAAACUCUUUGUAAUCUGGUUUGAUGAACUGAAGAGGACAGCUGAUGUGUAUAGGAGCUAUACGUGUGUUAAAAAAAAUUGAAAGCAAUGAUAAAGUGAUAUUUUCAUCUUUUAAAUUGUAAACUCUAAAUUCUCUACUUUUUUAAUGACACAUGACUAUCGAAGAUAAGUUCAUUUGAAGCACAUGCAUGCAUGGAUAACUACCAUCCCAUAUAAGAAAUGCAUGGAGCACAACUAUAAUGCUCUUCCUCUGUCUAGAGAAUUUUGAUGUUUGACCACCUGCAUUUGCAUCUGCUGAUCAUAAUAUGAAGGCAGCCUUAUAAUGUGUUUCAUUUACACUAUUGUGUAAAUCCUGAAGGCUGAUUCUUUUUUUUUUCAACCUCCUUUUUAGGGUACUCCUUAUUUCUUAAUACAAUAUAUGGGAAAAAAAUAAUUUUAAUAAUCUAGUAAAAAGGCUAUCUUACUUGUAUUUUGCACAGAUGUUGCAGUUUUAGGCUUCUUUGAGUUGAUGAGAAAAUGGACAUUCAAAAAACACAGCACCAACUCAUUCAGAAAUCUUUGCUUUAAUUAAAGAGGAGAUGAGUUAAAUAAUGUUAUCUAUACAUUUGCACUUUAUCAUGGGAUCUCCUUCAGAUGUGGAUAACAUUGUGCGUUUAACUCUAUUGUUAUCAGAGAAAACUGAGUGCACUUUGGAAUGUUGAAGGAUCAAAACAAGAAUCCUUGGAAAAAUUAAUCCUUUGACUCUUAGAGUGCUGAAGUUGCUGCGUCAGACAUUUGAACCAAAUUAGUAUGAGAUACUUGGAUGAUGUCUGUUAUGGGGUUUUUAUCCAAUAGACACAUCUCACUGAGGGAGUAACAUAGUCUGAGUGCGUUAGGUAUUUCUCUGGAUAUUUCUUAAGGUGGUCCUAUGUCACAUUUUCCUUUCCUACAUCAUAUUUUCCUUAUGGGAAAUGAAUUGUUUGGAAAAAUAUGGGAGGAAAACAAACAGGGAGGCAGAGAUUUCCCAAAGCACAAGGUGGGGAAAAAAGGGGAAAAAUCAAUGCUCAAAAGGAAAACAAAGAGCAAGUGCAACCCAAGAAAAUCAAAUCUCCAAAUGUCACCUUGAAUUAUGCACGGAUAUUUUCUUCAAGUUUAACAUUUGGAGAAGCAGGAAAUCUGCACAAGUUCCCCUCAAAUAUAGAGGUGUUGCCAAGGACCUCCAUGGUCAUAUCUAAACCAUUUGAUGAUUAUUUAUUUAUUUUGAUAGGCAAAUGAAAAGCAAUAUAUAAAAAGCUCCAAAAAAUCCAUUUGAUGGUUGUAAACACCUGUUCUCUAGAUUCCUUUGGACUGAACUAGAUUUCAAACGCUGUUGUAAUUGCAACAUCUCAUCCAAUGCACUUAGGGAAAGAGAAAAGUAUCCUUUAGAUUUGGUCCUGACUAGACAUUGAUAUUCCCAAUCUAGUGAGCACCAAUGUUAGAUGCUGGUGUAAAAACUUCAUUUCACACCAUGAUGGGGAAGAAGAAAAUCAAGAUCCUUGACAAUCAAACUAUUGCUAUUAGUGUUAUGCUACCUUCUUGAGUCCAUGUAGCAUAAGUCUGGCUGUUAUGAUAUCUUUCUUAUUAAUACAUCAUUUAUAUGGGUGCCAACACACACACACACACACACACACACACAUAUGCAUGCAUACCCUUUUUUCUGGGAAAAUAGAGCUAUUUUUAUUUCCACACUACAUGCCAUUUAUUAAAUUGCAGAAGAGCUGCUGUCUUACACUAUUACAGAGCUGUAUUUUUCCUAAGUUUAAAGAACUUCUUUAUAUCUAUCAUACCAAUAUUUUGGCAAUAGCCAAUAGAUUCUGGGCAGCAGCUUGGUUAUCUACACACUUGUUUAAUAUUUUUAGCAUUACCUUUUUAUUCUUUAUUAUAUACUUCUUUUGGAAAUUUUGCAGGGCUGUUGCUUACAUUCCUCUGACAGUCCUGGCAGUUCCAGCUUCAGUACUUACUGUAAGCAUUAAAAAUCCAUUUCUAAUGCUUUUAGAUCCUGGUUACCGCUUUUUGUUUCAUAAAUAAGUGCUCAUUUUGCAAAGUUCUAGUUUGUAGCUGCUCCAACAUUCAUUUUGCAUUCCUUGGUUUAAAUGGUCUCCACUAUUCCACUUUUGAAACAUCAAGUCCAUGUUCUCAAUUCUUGGCACUUUUUUUUUUAAAACACAAGUUAAUCACUACGACAUGGCUUAAAAAUGUUACAGAAAUUUAUAUUGUUUAUUGAAGAUUAUAACCUAAGAAAAUCAUGGUGUUAAAGCAUAUUUCUGCCUACCAAUGCCAUCAAAGUCGAGCAAGAUAGUAAGAGAGGAACCUAAAUGCUUCUUCUUGAUGCUAUUCUGCAGAAACUGUGAGCAAGUUUCAGCCAUUAGUAAUACAAAGCAAAAACUUAAAAUAUCUACAGUGCAGGUGGUGCAUUGGCAAGUGCUCAUCUUUACUAGCCUAGAACCUUAAGCUACUGAAUUGUUGCAAAUUGCAUAUCUGGAAUGCGAAAUAUACAUACAUGAGUGAAUUCAAACGUUCUCUUGAUACACUAUUACAUAGGUUUUGCUUGGUAGAUUUUGUUCUUUUGGACCAUAUCUUUUUUUUUUUUUUUUGAUAAGUAAACAAGAUAUGCAUUAGAAAAGGCUAAACGCCACAAAGCAUACAGGGAGUAUACAAGACGGCUACAGCCUCAAAAAGAAAAAAAAGGACAAAAAAGAACUACCUCCCCUUAAAUGGAAGCUAUCCACUCUAAAAAUCCUAUAAGGGAGAAAGACUCCUCACCUAAAUACACUUUGACCCAAUUCUAUAAGUUACAGACAAAAAAAAUCUUUAAUUUCUGAAUAUUCAACGCACCCCCCCUAAAGGCUAACCUGUUCCUCUCCUUCCAAACCGUCCAAAAAAUACACAACGAAAUGGAUUUCCAAAUCUUUUUCCUUUUCUUCCCUACAAAUGAACCCCUCCAGGAGAUUAAAACCUCCUUUACAGUUUCUGGGAGGACCCACUUAACAUCUAUUAACCUAAAAAUAAUAUCCUAUAGAGUUCUAGUCACUAUACAGUGUAAAAGAAUAUAAUUUACAUUCUCUUCUUCACAACCACACAAAAAGCAACAAUUUGGGAGUUGCACCCCUCUUAUCUGGAGUCUGUCCAGAGUGAGCACCUUCCCCCACGUAGCCUCCCAAGCAAAAAAACAAACUUUAGUUGGCACCCUAUCCACCCAUAUUCUCCUUGCGGGAAACACUGUGGCAUUAGGCUUGUCCAGCAGCUUGUAAGCUUCCUUGACCCUAAAAAGACCAUUUCUUCCCUGCCUCCACAUAAUUGAAUUAUCCUCCAGGGAAGGCCUAUGUCCCCUCAAGGUAUGGAGCAAAUCCCCAACCAUAUCCAACUCCUAAUCAUUGAAGUCCCUCACAAAAACAAAAUUCCAAUCUCCUUGGCCCGAAUCUUGGUCCCACAUCUCCUCAAUCGUAGCGUCCCUAUGUGCAGCGAGGAGAAAAAGAUGAUUGAAGCAUUGGGACAACGGAGCGUCAGUGCACCAACUAUCUUUCCAAAAUUUGAUUUUGGAACCCUUCCCAACUAGAAAAGCCAAAUUUUCCCAGCACCAUUCAGAUUCUUUCAUAAUCUCCUUCCAGACCCCUACUCCAGCCGCCCCACUAGCCUUCUUUGACCUCCAUCCAUAAUCCUCUUGCACCAUAUCUUUUUAAGCUUCUAUUAUGUCUGCGACUGAAGAUGCUUGACUGCAUGGUACUAAGGAAACAAGAAGUCAUCUGCAUGUCCAGCUUCCCAUAUCUCAAAUCAACUGGUUACCAAUAAGAUGAGUUUUUGUUUGUCAUUUUCUAUGAAUUGAUCUGAAGCAUCCAUAUUCCAACUGUGUGUACUCUUAACUCUUUCUUUAGCAAUCCUUGACAAUAGCCAUGAAUGAUAUCUUCCUCUAUUUUUAGUAUUUUUUCCUUCUCAAGUUUUUUGAUUCUUCCCUGAUUAUAGUUUGAUAUUGGAUGUGGCAAUUUACAUGUGACCCUUACUGAGAAAUGCUUUAUCUGAGAAGAUUGCAUCCUGCCCUCCCAAUUAAAGCUUCAAUUAAUGUUGUAUCUGCUUUCUAUCUUCCAGCUUGGUGGUGGCUAUCUUUUUGGGUUGCCUGUGGGCUUUGUUGCCGAUUCAAUUGGUGCCACUGUUGGUGCAGGUGCUGCAUUUCUUCUUGGCAGAACGGUAAGUUUCUGACAAUGUAUGAUGGAGUGUAUUUUCUGUUGUUCUGUGCAAUGUGUAUGCAACAGUAUAGAGAACCCAAUAUUAUUUUUUUUUGAUAGAUAAACACACGGAAAUAUAUUAAAAAGGGGCAUAAAGGCGACCCAGAGUAUACAGGGAGUAUACAAGCAUCACCUACAAAAAGAACCAGAAACAAAAAGGACAAACCCUUACCAGCCCUCAACAAGAACCCACCCAGUCCACAAAAUUAAACAAGGAAAAGGGGCCUUCAACUAUGGAAGAAUUAGCCCAAGAUAAGAGAUUACACAUGAAGGAAUUUUUCAAUCUUUGAAUUGAUAGGACUUCAUUUUCAAAAACUAUCCUAUUUCUUUCCUUCCAAACCGUCCAAAAUAAGCAAAGAGGAGCUGCCCUCCAAACCUUGCUACGCUUCUUAUCCUUUAAAGGAGCAAGCCAACCUAAAAGAGUGUCUCUAACCGAAAAAGGGGUAACCCAAUUAACACCAAAUAAGGAGAACAAGAGAUCCCACAAGACCUUCGCCUUAGGACAGUGAAUAAGGAUGUGAUUUAUCGUCUCUUCUUCAUCACAACACAAGGGGCACCUGUUAGCUAAUUUCCAGCCCCUCCUCUUUAGUUGGUCUUGGGUGAGCACCUUCCCCCAAGAGGCUUCCCAAGCAAAAAAGCCCACCUUGGAAGGAACAAACGAACUCCAAAUAAUUCUCCAAGGAAACGGGACUGCACUGCUGUGGUCAAGAGAGUUGAAACAGGAUUUUACAGAGAAGUUCCCAUCCUUCGUCUCCUUCCACGCCAUCCUAUCCUCCAAAUCAGCAUUCAGCCUUUUUCCUUGAAUGAUCAGAAGGAAACUCUCCACCUCCUCCACCUCCCAAUCAUUGAAAGGUCUAAGGAAGCGGGGAUUCCACCCACCCACUUCCCCCAUAGAGUCCCAACAGUCCGCAACCUUCGCGUCUUUAGAAACCGCUAAAUCAAACAAGGAGGGGUAGGCCUCACAAAGAGGGGUGUUCCCGCACCAUUUAUCUUUCCAAAACCUCACCCUCUUACCAUCCCCCACCGAAAAAGAAACAUUGUUGAGCAACAACAACCCUUCCUUGCUGAUUUCUUUCCAAAGCCCCACCCCAUAGCCCUCCCUACCCCCGCAAGUGCACCAACCUCCACUACCAACCCCAAACUUCGUUCCAAUUAUAAGCUUCCAAUAGGAAUCCCUUUCGACCGCAAACCGCCAACUCCAUUUGCACAAAAGGGCCCUAUUGAGAAUAGUGAGGUCUCUAAUCCCCAACCCACCCUUCUUUUUAUGAGAACAAACAAUACCCCAUUUUAUUAGGUGGGGCUUCUUCUCCAACGCACCCCCUCCCCAAAGGAAAUCCCUUUGAAUUUUCUCAAGGCUUAAUUUAACCACUUUUGGCAUACGCAUUAAGGACAUGAGGUAGGUUGGUAUGCUUGCCAAAGUGCUCCGAAUAAGGGUGAUUCUUCCACCCUUGGAAAUGAAUUGCCUCUUCCAUAAGGCUAGCCUCUUGCGCAUCCUCUCUUCCAUUCCGUCCCAAACCAUCACCGACUUAUGCGAAGCACCCAAAGGGAGCCCCAAAUAGGUAGAAGGAAGAGAGCCCACUUUGCAGCCCAGUUCAGCCGCUAGAAGUUCAGCGUUCUCCACUCUUCCCACCGGCAAAAUUUCACUUUUGUUCAGAUUAAUGCGCAAUCCAGAGAUGGCUUCAAACCACAAGAGCAGUCAACUUAAAAAGGCCAAUUGCUCUUGGGAAUCCUCGCAGAAGACCAGCGUGUCAUCAGCGAACAGCAGGUGUGAGACUCGAAUUUCUGCUCCUUCCCUUCCCCUUAUGCUGCAACCUGAAAGGUAACCCCCUCUCACAGCCCUAUUAAUGAGGCUAGUCAAAGCCUCCAUUCCUAAAACAAAAAGGUAAGGGGAAAGGGGGUCCCCUUGCCUUAACCCCCUAGUGCUGCGGAAAAAACCGGUUGGAGAACCGUUGAUCAGAACAGAGAACGACGCAGUGGAUAAACACCAUUUGAUCCACCCAGCCCAUUUCUCCCCAAAGCCCAUUUUUUUCAUCACUGACAGCAAAAAAUCCCAAUUGAUACGAUCGUAGGCCUUCUCUAAAUCCAAUUUGCAUAAAACCCCACUUUCCUUCCUUUUCAUCAGUGAGUCUAUAACCUCAUUGGCUAUUAACGCUGCAUCUAGGAUCUGCCUACCUUCAACAAAUGCAUUUUGGGUAGUAGACACCACUUUUCCCACAACCUUUUUCAAUCUAUUGGCUAGGACCUUUGCAAGCAGCUUGUAGAGGCUUCCCACCAAACUGAUGGGUCUAAAAUCGGUCAAGUCUUCAGCCCCGCCCUUUUUUGGGAUUAAGACAAGGAAGGUGGUGUUCAGACUUCGAACAAACUUUCCCCUUUCAAAAAAAUCUUUGAAAAAUCCCAUAAUUUCGUCUUUGACGAAGUCCCAGCAGAAAUGCCAGAAGGCUAGGGUAAACCCAUCCGGGCCAGGGGCUUUGUCCCCAUUCAACUCUGAAAGAGCCAGGAAUACCUCCUCCGCAGUGAACAUUAGCUCCAGCCUAGCUGCCUCCUCUACCCCAAUGCUGUCAAACUCCAGAUUGUUCACACUAGGGCGCCAGCCACCUGGAUCCGAUAAAAGAGACUGAAAGGCCCUCACCACACCCCUUUGAAUCUCCUGCUCUUCAGACAGCCAGUUGCCAUUGACUUUAAUUUUCUUCAGGCAAUUCUUCCUUCUGUUGGAAUUUGCCAUCUUGUGAAAAAGUCCCGUGUUCUUGUCACCUUCCUUCAGCCAAGUCUGUCUUGACUUUUGUCUCCACGAAAUCUCCUCCAUAAGCACCCAUUUCUUGAAAUCCUCCUUAGCCUCCUUUCUCGCUUCUAACUCCCAGUCAUUUAAAACUCUUAGCUGCUCCUGAAUAUCCCAAUGAGACACCUUGUCCAAUGCCAGCCUCUUGUUCACUUCAAUUCUGUCGAAAACUUCCGAAUUCCACUCCUUCAGCUUAAUUUUUAAAGCCUUUAAUUUUUCUGUCAGGAUAAAACUGUAGGACCCAUUAUAAUUGAAUCCUUGCCACCAGCCUUUUAACAAAUCCUUAAACCCUAGAGAACCCAAUAUUAUUAAUAUCUUAUUAUCUGUUAACACUCCUCCAGUCUUCACUACUUGAGAAGUGAUUGAGAAAUAGGAUCUUGCCAAAUUGUAUACAGCAUCAUACGGUAUAUGCCUUCAUGACCAAUCACUAGUAUUCAUAGCUUCUGUUGCUGCUCAUUGUUUCUCUAAUAUUCUUAUCAUUACUUCUUUGAUGAUAUUUUUCUUCUUAUAAACCCUUUAUAAUGUUCUUUUAUUAAAUUUUUCUAUCUUGUAUAUAUCUGUAUAUGUGUCUUAUUCUGGUAUUUCUAUGUAGAUUGGGAGGUCAUAUGUUAUCUCCAAGUUAAAGGAUUAUCCUCAAUUCCGGGCAGUUGCCAUUGCAAUUCAGAGAUCUGGCUUUAAGGUUUGUAUAACUUAUAUCUGAUCUGCAGAAACUGAGUUAUGUUCUUGACCAGUGCAUCUACUUGAUCUGAUUGUUCCAAUUUUCAUUUUGUAUCUUAUCCAAAAGAGGAUAAAGUUUGUCCUGGUUCAUAGUGUCAAAACUGAUAAAAAGCUUGAGGAUUCUGACUCUCUGAGUGUACUUCCUAAAGAGGGUGGGCAGUGGAUUACUUAUAUUAUAGAACUAUUUCUAAGAGCAACAAAAUGUUGCAUAGAUGGAAAAGUAUGCAGCUUUAAGUCCUUUGAGAACAUAGUGGCCAAUUGGGUAACAAGUAUGGGGAUUCAUUACAAUGAAAUUAUUGGUUCAACCGCAAAUCUAUUUAAUAUUAAUAGUGUACCGAAGUUAGGUAGCACUAUGGAUUGAGUGUCACUCGAUCUAUUGAAAUUUGCAAGUUCCAUGGGGUAUAUAUAUACACACACACCCAUACCUACAUACAUUUAUAUAUAUUUUGAUAGGUAUACCUACAUAAAUAUAUAUACACACACAAAGGAAUUUAAUUGAAAAGGGGCUGAAGAGAAGGGGGCACAGCCUAGGUACACUGGAGGCAUAAACAAGGCCUAUCAGGGCUGAACACAACCCCACAAAAAACUCAGUGAGGAUUCAAACAAUCUACGGAGCCUAACAAAUACAUAGGAUCCACAUCUGAAGACUCCUCUAAUGUUGUGUGUAUAUGCAUAAAUUAUCCUUUACUUUGUGCACCAAUAUAUAUUUGAAAAAUUCACCUCAUUUAAAUGUAAGAGACUGUAGAAGUAUCAGCCAUUUUGCAAGAUCAAGCUGACAAAUUGCUAUCAGGUAGUGUUGUCUAUCGAGCAUUUUUAUGAAGAUCUUAGUUUGUAUCAAAAUGAUCCAUAGCUGCUUAGGAGUUUCUCAUGUUCUCUUCUGGGUACCUUCCUAGGUUGCAGGUAGGCUGUCUAUGUGCUAGGCCAUUUAUUAUUUAGCUCGGUGGUCACUUUCUGUAGUGAUCUCUAGUCAAUAGAGUGCCUGACCAUCUCUGCCUGAAUCAUAUCUAACUGAUUGUUUUCACCCAGUGGUACCCAUAUAUCCACACACAGGUGGUCUGGAUUAACAUUGUACUCUCUGGUUAAAAGGCUAAUAAGACAAUAAAUUGUUGUCCUUAGAUUCUUAUACACUGGCUGAAAGACCAAUUAAUAUUAUGCUUUUUGCUUGAAAGGGCUGUUAAUGUAAGAACCUCUAGCUUAUAGUGGCAUGCUAUUUUAGUUGCUAUCUACAUUUAUGCUUUAUCUCACCCUCUUCUAAGAAAUCUGUGUCUCAUUCAACAGAUUGUUUUGCUGCUUCGGCUUGUUCCCUUACUUCCUUUUAACAUGCUGAAUUACCUCCUGUCUGUGACUCCAGUUCCAGUAUGGGAGUACAUGCUGGCUUCCUGGUUGGGAAUGAUGGUAUCUUCUCCACCCUUGAACUGAAGAUUCUUAGUGAUGUUGUGCCAAUGAUUUAAUCCUUUUUCAUAUUAUCAUAAAUCUUAGGUGUUACAUAGAUUUGAUUAUCAUUAUUCCUUAAUUUUUUUUUCAAUGUGUGUGUGUGUGUGGAUCAACUCACACUUGGAAUUGAACUUAGUAUUCUUACAUUACUUAUUGACCUUGCUGAUAACCCUAUUUUUUUAAACCCAUCGUUGGAUUAGACUCCCUCGCAUGUCAUGCGCACAUGAUGCCACAUUAAUAGGAUAUUAGUAGCCUGGAUUUGAACUACAUCCGAAAUUGGAUUUCUUAUUUUGCCUAUUGUUGGAUAUCAUUCCUCACACUUUUAUCUCAUGAAUGAAUGUCACCUUUAUUAUAUAUUAGCAGCACCCGAAUCCAGUUUUCUUUUCAUUAUAUAAUAAAUGAAACAGUACCAUAUGGAUGAGAUAGCUCCCAUUCUCCAUUCAACUUGAUCGUUGUCAAAUAUGAAGGGGACAUCUUAUACAAAGGUAUGCUUUGUGGUGUGAACCCAAGAAGAAGUUUUCGAGGGUUGUAAGAAUAAGAAGUUGACACUAUAAACACAUGUUAAUGCAUGCACGCAUUCACAGACUUCAAUGGACACACAGAAACACAUGGUAAUACACACUCAAUUCACGUGCAUGCUUCAAUGCAAGUUUACUUACCUCAUGUGGCAAGGUGGUCUUCCCUUCCAUUGAGCUCUUUGCUAAAACCCACCCUGAACCCUGCAAUGUAACCACUGAUCUGAGUCUUUUAGGUGUAAAUUACUCUAGUAAAGUAAACUUUCCAUGGUUAGAAUAAUUUUGCCACAAAAAUGUUGGCAUUUUUUAGCUUUAUUACUUGAAUUUGGCAUCAACAGUGCCUCAAAAGAAAAAAAAAAGGCCAGAGCUGUGUGCAUAGAUCAGCAAAUAUGCUGCAAGGCUUCAUAUUAAUUUAGCAUAUACCACCACUUCCACUUAUAAUAGUAAAUCUAGAAAAUGUCUGCUUGCACCAGGCAGUAAACAUGAAGGUACUUUUGUGGGUUUGUCCCUUUCAGACCAGUGCAAUUCCUCUUGAUAUCUUGAUAUUUAAAAAAAGAAAAACGAAAAAAGAAGAAAAUAUCUGGACCAAACAUCACAAUUGCACAUUAGUUUCUGCCCUUGUAUGGUUUCAAAAAUGGAAUGUAUUACAAGUAUCAUCUGUCUUUGUUUGGUUUAGUUGUCUUUAUUAUUGGAGUGCCUAUUGAAUUGAAUUCCCAGGCUAUGCAUGCAUAUCCUCCAAGAGUUGUUUAAAUGAUCCAAUUUUGAUGGUAUGUUGAUGUGCCCACUCUGUUACCGUUGCAGCCAAUAACACUUGCUCUAGUAUACAUUGGAACCACUCUCAAGGAUCUUUCUGAUGUGACACAUGGAUGGCAUGAGUUUUCAACUUCUCGUUGGGUAAGAGAAUCUAAUUCUUUUUUCCUGUUUAGAUUUUCUAAAUCUUUUUAAAUUAUUGAACUAAUCCCAAAGACCUGAUAUGAUAAAAUUGAACUUGUUACAUUGUUCUAAAGGUACAUUUGAACAGUUUCAUCUUUCUGUUAUUGAUGUCAGCAAGUUGCUUGACACUUGCCUUGGCCCAGUUUCUGAGCACCUCUAUUCUAAAGGUGCAUGAACUUGGAAUCAUGGUUUUAUUUUUCCAUGAUGGGUGUAAGGCCUCAGGAAGGAAUAUGUUGUUUUUUUGGCUGAUUUAAGCUAGGGAUUUAUGGAUGCUCACAUUUAUCUUCUUCUCAUCUUCUAUUCUGAUAUUUGCUUUGUCCUUUAUUGUGGAUGCAGAUAUUUAUAGGGUUGGGCCUUGUGAUAUCUGGUAAGUUGCAAUUUAGUAUGCAUGAUUCGCAUGCACAUGCACGGACAAGUAGAGAUGAAAACUUAGGAAGGCUGCUUGGUAAAAGCUUAGGAAUAUACCUUCAUCGGCUUAAUAAUCACAUCAUACCUAUGUUUACAGAAGCUUAGGUUCUGUUUGGGAAAUGUUCUUGAAAACGGUUUUCUAACUUCAAAAAUAGAUUUGAUAAAUUUUUUAAUGAAAAUAAUUUUUUGAGAAUUUGUUUUUAAAACAUGUUUUUUUAGAACAAAUUUGUUGUGUUUUCAAGGUUUUUUUGGUGGAGUAUGUUGAGAAACAAUUGAAAAUAUGGGGAAUAUUUUUGGGAAUGUUUACAUUGUAUAUAAAUACACAAUACCUUCAUUUCAGAAUUGAGUUAAAAAUUUGUUUCUGAAAACAAGUGAGACCUGUUUUUAAGAGUUGUUCUCAAAAACCAUUUUUUGAAACUCUGCCAAAUAGGCUCUUAAUUUCACAUUUUAAAGAGAAAAGAAUCAAUUCAAUAUUGGUCACAACAUUUGCUUCUAGAGCAAUUUGGUUUGGGAAAAUAAUGCUUCUCAACUAUGUUACAUGGGUUUGGGUACGAGUGUCAAGUGUGGGUGCGUGUCCAAGUGUCUAAUUCUUCACAUUUCAAAUUUUGGCUGAAAAUGAUCAUGAAUGAAAAUUAGAUAUGACAUAAGAAAAGGGAAAAAUAACUUCAAAAGUCUAUGAGAAGCAAAAAAUCAACAUAUCCCUGUUAAGAAAAUUCUCUCUUUUCUCUUUUGUCCUUAUUCUUUAGAAAAUAAUAAAAUUAAAAAUAGGGAAAUUGGAAGCAAACCUCGCCCACACCCAUGUGUAGACACCUGGUAUUUUGAGUGAAGUUAAAGAGUCUGGGUAUCACAGGUUCAAGGAAUUUAUGAUCACCUCCUUGUAACAUCCCAGUAUCACCAAAGAAGAUAAUGGAUGUAAUGGAGGAAUAUGAGUCAGAAUAUUAACCAGAAUAAAGUUUGAUAGACUCUACCACAAAACUUGAAGGCAAGGAAUAGAUUAGAAUGAUCCAAAGUUGUGUAGUUCAUGCAUUUGAGUGAUGUAAUUCAGAUUUCUAAUUUGUUUUCUUUUCUUGGCUUUGUUUGCAGUGAUUCUAAUGGUUUGUGUUACUAAAGUUGCCAAGGCUGCUUUGGAAAAAGCUUUGGCUGAAAACGAGGAUAUAGAUGGCAUUGUAGCUGCCCCGCAGUUACCCAUUGUAUCUAAUCCAUCAUUGGAUCUCCAGCAGCCUCUAGUUGUCAAGAUAGACCCCACUCAAGACAAUCAAGAAAAAUGAAAUACACGUCCUGUAAAUUCUUCCCCUACCUUCUUCAAAAGACUCCUUGUCCCUUUUUUCUUUUUUUACUUUAGCAACUGUCUGCAGCACUUGGUGCUUUCCAUUUUUAUCCAUUUAGUCUCAUCUUCUCUCAUUACGAAUUGUUUUGGACAGAAAUGUAAGAUUAUAUGGGUAAGAAUGUGUUUUAAUUGUAUUUGUUCCAUUGGAAAUCAGUAAAAUAUUUGAAAAAAUUAAUGAAAUUGUUGUUUUUUGAAACCAUCUUGCUUCAGAUAUGAUUGUGUUUUGGUUCUUUCAGGGAGCUUUCUUUUACCGUUGUUUUUCUCUUCUAAGAAGUCUUUACCCUUCCUUGGCUGCAUUCCUCCGGUCCUCCCUUUGUUAAUCAAUUUUUGUAUUGUUGCUUGGGAAACUAGAAAAGAAGUGUGGAAUUGUUAUCCUAAGCCUGUAAUCUGUAUGUUGUUAAACCAUCUCCUUGGAUACUCACCUAAAAAUUGUAUGGUGUUAAUUAAAAUAAAGUGUCUUAUUGGGUAUGCCCGCCUGAAAACUAAGGUAAAGUAAAUUGCUUAACUUUAAAAUGCAUACAUUGAAAUGUGGGGAAGUACUUGUAACAUCAUUGGUGAUUCAUGGUAGCAAAUUAAUGUGAGUCCCCAUGAGGAGCACUCAAGUUGAUAUUUUUCUGGAUCAUCUGAGAAAAUUCUAAGAGAAUUAAUGUGAGUCCCCAUCCUUAAUCCAUUUGCCAUUUGAUAUCUAUGAGAAAAUUCCCUUCUAAGACGACCAAAUAGCCAGAUCAGAUGGUGCUUCUGAGUGGAUCAGUCCCAUUCAUUUGGCUUUUUCCCAGCUUCCUCAAGGGUGGCUUAACCACCGUCACCAACCCCAACCAACACUCUUCCCCGCCUGGCUAUUUGGAUGUUUCUAAUCAGGCUCCUGUCACAAUUGAAUAUUGCAGUUACAGUCAUCAACAAGAUGGUGGUGUUGAGAUUUACCAAAAGUUGUGGAUACAAGAUGCUGGAUAUUAAAAUUCCUGCUGGGUAAAAAAGUUUGUUCCAACUUCCAGAGACUCCGAACAGGAGUAUAUGAAAAGCAUGAAAUUCUAAUGAUGAAAGGUGAAGCAACAUCAUAUGCGGCCUCAUCAUGAAUCUUUGAAUUCAUGGUGGGUGCUUUGGCUUCUUUUUCUUCUUUUUCCUUGCUCAACACACAAAAGAAAAACCAGUCCCUGCCAUUCCAUUCAUUUUCCAUGUACUAUAUAGUAGCUUUCCCGCUGCCUUGUUCUCAAAAUUGGGUCUUGAGGACCCUACCAAUAUCUGGGGAAAAGAUCAUGCAUAUCUAUUCAUGGAUUAACCAUCUUUUUAUAACACAAUGGGCGUGAGAAUUCCCACGCCUAAGGUGACCAGAGGCAUUCCAAGACCAUAGAAGAAAUGCCAGGGGGGUUGGGGAUAUUUCCGCUUGGGAGUUGCUUUUAUGGAUGUCGUGACCAUACGCAUGCCUCGGGACUUGGCACCAGGAUCUGGAACCUCAGUGACAGGCCCUUGGAGCUGCAGAUAAGGGUGGGAUCAAUAUUGAAGAAGGGUCACAUACUGAAGCCAGGUGCCUCAAAGAGACUGAAAUGCAAGAGCAUUUACAAGGCUCACAUGCCCGGUAGGGGUGGCAGCAAUGGCGGAAUGAACAGCCUGCUUUACUACUACGACGAGACUUGCCACCCUUACGUUUGGAUACACGACAGCGUGGGCGAUUUCACACGGAUGGUCAAGCAGCAGUACAUCAGUCUGGAGGACCUGAGAGAUUGCUCCGAGAUCAGAAUUUUCAGAGACCAUCAGAGGGGCUGCAUAUCGGUUCGCAAGAAACCAAGGCCUGACUUUUGCUGAAUCUCUCUUUGCUCCCUUUCGUUGUAAGUUUAGACCACAUGAUAUGAAGAAGCAUUGAUCAGGAUAAUGUUGCUUUGUAAUCCAUAUGCUUUCUUUUUUUUUUUUUUUUUGGAAACUGUGUGAUUCAAGGCUUGAGGUGUAAGUGUUAAUCUCUAUGUACCAAGGGAUUUUACAGAAUCAAAUUGGUGCAGUUGUUGGAUCCAGUUUUUAUCUGUUUUCCAUAGAAUUUAUUCCCAAAAUCUGGAGAAGUAAUAUUUGUUGAGAGAAUCGAACAAGAAGUGAAAGAAAGUUCCAAGAAAGAUCCUCCAAAUCAAUUCAAGGCUUAGGCAACAAGCAAGCGCUUUAGAAGCUUGACGUAUUCAACACGGGAUGCUGCCAUAGGAGUCUCCAUGAAUUCAACACGGUUAAUUUAGUCAGUGGAAGAUGGGUUGUAACCCCAUUUGAUACGUCACCAAUACAUCAUAUUGAGUUACUGAUUGUAAAUCAAUUUUAGAAAGUUGAAAAAUCAAUGGCAAUAGCACUGUAGAUAUAUUUGAUUGAUAAUCUUCCUAAAAAUCAUUAGGAAAACAUUGUUAGAUUAUGUUUUGCACUGUUUUUCCUCUUUUUAGUGGAAAUAUUUUUAGAAGAAACAUUUUAGAAUAUGUUUUAUAGUGUUUUUCCUCAUAAAUAUUUUUAAUGGGAAUGUUUUCUUUUAAAGCGUUUUUAAGAGAAUUAUUUAUAUAACAAUUCGCAUUCAAAAACACUCAAUGGUGUAGAUAUUGUUGAUUUUGUAUUCAAAAGAGUUUUACAACUUUAAAACGUGUUUAUAAGGUUAAAAAGAAUUUAUGCUAACACAUCAUUUUUAUUGUGUAUAUGAAAUCAUGGGGUCAAAUAUAUAGACACUUCUCACGGGGACAAACAAAAUCUCAUAUUAAGAUCGAUGCUCUAAAUUAAAUCUAAAGGAGCUCUCACAGCUUUAAAAUGCGUUUAUAAAGUUAGAAGAACUCUCCUAUCCAAUGUGAAAUAUCACAACUUACAAGUAUUUUUCGAUAAAAUAUUAUAAGGAUAAGUAAUUUUUCAAAUCUUUGAAUGCGUUUAUUAAAUUUGAUCAAAUAUUUAAUUUUUUUUUCAAAAACACUUUUAGUAUGAAAACCCUUCUUACAAAAACCAUCAAACUACUCUUAAUAUAAUCCCCACGUUACUUUCAUCUCCGCAAAUUGUGCCCAACAUUUUUUUUCCCACUGAAUGGGAAACGAUGAAAAGGAUGGGUGUGAAGGUGAUUUAUUGCUCCAAAUAAUUUUGUUGGCAAUUUGAAUUAUUAGAAAGGUGAAGGCUUUUUCAAGGAGUUGAUGCCAACAAUGUCUUGGUGUGGUUGGUUGCUAGUGUGCAACAACCAGAGGAUCACUCGGUCACAUCCCACCAUACAAACAACUCUUUCUUUAUCCUACCUAAAAGACUAAUUAUUUUUCUCCCCUCUUUUGGAGGGUAAGUUUGGAAAUUUGCCAUCCUUCUACUUAAAUAGGUUUCAAUGAGAAUAUAUAUUUUAAUAAUAUAAUGAUAAUAGGUAAAAUGAAGAUAUUUAAUUUUUUCAAGACAUUAAAAAAAAAGGGUAAGAGGAGUUUGCUCUAGUAACAUUAAAUACUUCCUAUAUAAAAUAAUAACGUGUCGAUUUGAUUAAAACAACUUAAUUAGGUUAAAUGAUAACUUGGUUGUACCAAACCUAAUUAUAUUAUUUUCAUAGUUAAAGAAACCUACUAAUAUAUAAUGAUAAAAACUUAUUUCUUUUAACACGUGUAAGAUAUCACAAUUUCCUUUUAUAAGGAUCUAUUUUUCAUGAUAUGCUUUAUCUUGUUAACUGCCAUCUAAAUCAUUGAAAAUAUACGGAUAACAAGUGUGUAUGAUAAAUAUACAAAUAAAAUGAAAUAAGUAGAAAAUUGAAACUCGCAAAUAAGGUUGAUUAAGGUUAGUAUUUGACUUUGUCCUUAAACCAAAUUUGUUUCGCUCAGGUGCUUACGGUUUAUUGAAAAUUGUCUCUUAGAAUACAACUAUCACUUUCUUAUGAUAAUAAUACUUAUUCUUUUAGCACGUGUAAGAUAUCACAAUUCCCUUUUGUAAGGAUCUAUUUUCAUGAUACGUUUUAUCUUGUUAACUGUCAUCUAAAUUAUUGAAAAUAUACAAAUAACAAGUGUGUAUGAUAAAUAUACAAAUAAAAUGAAAUAAGUAGAAAACUGAAACUCGCAAAUAAAAUUUAUUGAGGUUAGUGUUUGGCUUUGUUCUUAAGUCAAAUUUGUUUCGCUCAUGUGCUUACAGUUUAUUGACAAUUGUCUUUUAUAAUACAACUAUCACUUUAUUGUAAUAGUAAUACUUCAUCAAAUCACAAAACACAAUGAAUUGCUUGAUGAUUUGUACUCUAUUGUAUAUUAAAUAUUUGAUAGAAAAAAAAAUGACUAAAAGUUAAGGAGAACUUGAAUGACAAGAAAAAAGAAAAAGUAGAAGGAUGGAUGAAUGAAUGAAUGAAUGAAUAUAUCAUGAGGGUCCCAUUUUUAUAUUUGAAGGUAACUCAUUAGAAGAUAUAUGUUUUUAAAAUACUAGACACAUUAUUUAAAGGGUUGUGUUUUAAGACGCUAAAUACAACCUUUGAAAAAGAUUGUGUAUUUUAAAUACAAAAUACAUCCUUUACAAGAAGUUGUGUAAAAAGUGUACAUGACAAGAACAUCACAAGUAAAAAUAUAUUUAAACAUAUUAUAAAAAAAAUUAUUAACAAUAUUCAUAUACUUUUACUAAUUAAAAAUUUGAGGGGUAUAAUGGGUAUUUCCGCACACUUAUGAGUUAUGACCGAGAUUCUAUAGAAUAGAAAUAGUGAGACUAAACCAAUUUUCUCUUUGUGAGUCAAAUCUUUCUAAUUUUUAAUUUCGGCUUUCGGGUUGAAAAAUGAUCCGUUAACUUAUUCUUCAGCUGUACAUUUUCCCGUCUUGAACUUCCGAUAUCUUUCUUGGUUUUCUUUGCCUCUGCUUUCCUGUUGUCCAAACACCAAAACAUGGGGAUUUCAUGGAGCAACAGAAGGAGAAACAACUAUCUACAAAAUCGGCCGCCGCCGCCACCGCCACCGCCGCCGCCUCAACUCCUCUCUUCUUCUUACUAUUACCCUUCGGAACCACCCUCUCUCCCUCCACCUCCUCCUCCUUCAAAUCCUUCGCUUCCUCAGCCGCACAACUAUGCUUUUACUUCCAAUCCACCUUAUCCUCCACCCCCAUACCCACCCCACAACCUUUAUCCUGCGCAUCCCCCUCCAAUCUACUCUUCCUCCUACUACUGCUCUGGUCCCUACAAUUCCUGCAAUUAUGCCAACCCCAUGAUGGCUCGAUCCAAUUACCAGCCUUACUACGCUAAUCACGGCAAUUACUGGCCUCCAAUUCGGCCUCCAGUGGCGGCACCGCCGCCCCAGCAGCCGCCGCCCUAUGUUGAACAUCAGAAUGCUAAGAAGGUCAGGAAUGAUGUGAAUGUGCAUAAGGAUACGUUGCGACUCGAGGUCGAUGAGCAGAACCCUGAUCAUUAUUUGGUUUCUUUUAUUUUCGAUGCCUUAUUUGAUGGAAGGUAAUGUUUUCAAUGACUUCUUUUAAUUAAUGUUUAUGUUCCCUAUUCUGUGGAAUAGUUUUGUGGGUAUGAAUGAUUUGAUCGUUUGGGUAAGCUAUUGAGUUGGGUUUUGAUUUUAAGAUGAAUUUCUUCACGGGUUGAUUCAAUUUGGGACGAAGAAAUAACCUUUUGUAAAGAUUAAAUGCUAGGUUUUUGUAAUUAUUCAACUCCGAAAUCAGGAAUCAUUAGGGAACUUGUUUGUGAUAGAAUUUUGAUGAGCAUAUAGAGAAAUAGGAGAGCCUUUCAUAAUUGUGAAACUAUGGAUCAAUUGAUCAGAAAUUCUUUUUUGUACCUUCUUUGGGAUUGGGUUAACUUGUACAGUGGGGCUGGCUAUGUCGUUAGUUGACUUAGGCUCUGUGUAAAGCGCACUUGCAGUUUUCUGUGUCCUUGUGCUGUUUUUCCGUAGUUGGGUUACUUUGUAUACAUUGUGUGUGCCUUUUUUUUCAUUUAAUACAUUUUUAUAUUGCCUAUAAAAAAAAAGUACUUGCAACUUUUGUUCUCAAUAUAUCUUCCUUGCUUACAAGAUGACUGCUGAGUUGAGAGGAGGUUUGAGAGGAAGGUGCUGGUUUGCGGUGGAGACCAAGACUUUUGAACACUCCACCGAAUUAGUUGGAGGAAACUAAGAGGGGUUAUUCUGGAGAGGAGUGGAGGGAAACUCUCCACCGUUCCUCACUCUCUUCUUCUCCUUUCUUUGGGCCUAUGGGAUCUCUCUGCUUCUACUCCUUUCUUGAUGUCCGAUCGGAUCUUGGGCAUGUGUGGGGGAAUGUGGUCCAACGCUAUUUGUGGGUUGGAGGGUUUGCUAGGGGAUGCCGACUGUGAUCCCUUGAGAGUAAUCUUGUUGAUGAUAGUGCCUUGGGUAAUGAAUGCAUGGAGGAGCAAACCCUUGGGUUGGCAGACAACACAUUUUCAAAGGAGCUUGUGCUUGUCCCAAUGAGGGUGGAUUCCAUGAAGGUGUUGGAGGUAAAUGUUGGUUCUCGAGGGAAAGAGGGGGAGCUGUCAGAAGGGUGGUCCUCCAGUUGCCUUGCUAAGUUUAGCUGAUGCUUAGGCAUGUCGAUGGAGGUUUGAAGGGGAGAUUCUAUACCUACUCAAGAGGAUGAAAGAGAGAAUCGAUCAAAAGGGUCAUGUAGGGGCUAAUAGGAGGGCGAAUUCCUUGUCUUCUAGGUUUGAAAGGGAACUCAAGAAACUUGAAUGGAUAGUGAAUUAUAAGGGUUCAAGCACUGGUAGUGGGUUGGGCAAAUCUGGUGGGGCCUUUGUUUCGGGAUGCAAAUAAAGAUAAGAAUCCUGUCCUGGAAUGUGAAAGGGGCUAAGGAUAGUGACAAAAGGAAGAUUAUAAAGUCCUUGAUCAAGUCGCAAAGGAUGGAUGUGGUUUGUUUGCAGGAAACUAAAAUUCAAGAGAUGUCUAGUGGGCUUGUACAUAGCCUUGGGGUGGGCAGAUAUUUACAGCGAAGUGUUGUCAAUUCUAGGGGUGUAGUAGGUGGAAUUUUGGUGUUUUGAGAUAACAAGGUGCUUGAGUUAGUUGGAGUGGAAAUGAGGAGUUACUUGAUUUCAUGCAGUUUAAAAAUUGUGAGGAUGGUGGAUUGUGAAUUUUUACCGGGGUAUAUGGCCUGAUGUGUAGGAGGAACUAAGAGUGUUUCUAGGAUGAGUUUGGGGCAAUUAGGAGGUUAUGGAGUGAUCCUUGGUGUAUCGGAGGCAACUUCAACAUGAUAAGGUUUCUUGGGGAGUGUUGUAAGGGAGACGGUCUUUCCUUAGCCGAGUAGAUUUUAGAGGUUACAGAGGAUCUAGAGCUUAGAGAUAUCCCUUUGCAGGGAGGCCUUUUCACUUGGACUGUUGGGUUGAAUAAUCAGCCCUAGUCUAGACUUGAUUGAUUUUUGGUGUCUGAAGAUUGGGAUAACCUCUUCAAAGGGGCCUUGCAAUGUGUUUUACCUAGAUCAGUUUUUGACCACUUUCCCACUCUUCUAGACGAGGGAGGCAUGAGGAGAGGAUCUAGAUUCAAGAAUACGUGGUUGGAGGAGGGUUUUAAUGAUUUGUUGAAAAAUUUGUGCGUGGGUCUUAAUGUUAAUGGUUCCUAUAGUUUUGUUUUGGUUGCUAAACUGAGAGCUUUAAAAGUAGUUUUGAAAUCCUGGAAUAAAGAUGUGUUCGACUUUAUUGAAGCCAAAAAGGAAGUGGCCCUCAACCAAGUGGCAUUUUGGGAUGAUAAAGAGAGGGUUACAACCCUAUCUUUGGAAGAGGUUGAAGCAAUAAAUGAGGCAAGGGAAGAGUAUAAAAAAUGGGUCCUUAGGGAGGAAAUUUUAUGGCAGCAGAAAUCAAAGGAAGUGUGGUAGAAGGAGGGCGACAGUGACACCAAUUUUUUCCAUAAGAUGGUGCAUGCCCAUAGAAGGAGAAACUGGUUGGCCAAGGUUAAAGUGAAUGGUUGCUGGCUCAUUGAGGAGAAUGAAAUAAGAGAUAGUGUGGCUGGGUCUUUUCAAAACCUUUUAACUGAGGAAGGGGAGUGGAGACCUAACAUUGGUGGCUUGACUUUUGAGAGACUAGGAGGCUGUGAGGCUACAUAGUUGGAGCUCCCAUUCUCGGAAGAAGAAGUUUUCACUACUCUUUCAGACCUAGGCAAGGAGAAAGUGCCAUGUUUGGAUGGGUACACUAUGACAUUUUUGGCUUUUUAGUUGGGAGUUUGGGAAGGAAGAGGUGAUGAGCUUUUUUAGCAAUUUCCAUGAGGGGGGCAGAUUUGUCAAAUCCUUGAACGCUACUCUUUUGGUUCUAAUUCCGAAGAAAGGUGGUGCCGAAGACUUGAGAAAUUUUAGGCUAAUUAGCCUUGUGGGCAGCCUUUAUAAGCUAUUAGCUAAGGUUUUAGCCAAUAAACUUAAGAAGGUAAUGGGUAAAGUGAUCGCUUUUGUUAAGGGUAGACAGAUUUUGGAUGCAACUUUGAUCAUUAAUGAGGCUGUAGAUUCAAGGCUGAAAUGUAGUGAAUGUGGUGUUCUUUGUAAGCUUGACAUUGAGAAGGUAUAUGAUCAUGUAAAUUGGAAUUUCUUGUUGUUGGUGUUAAGAAAGAUGGGCUUUGGGAGAAGUGGAUUGAAUGGAUAAAUUGGCGCAUCUCAACAACAAAAUUUUCUAUUCUUAUCAAUGGAAUCCCAACUGGUUUGUUUCAAAGCACAAGGAGUUUGAGACAAAGGGACCCCUCUCUCCUUAUUUAUUUGUGAUUGCUAGAGAGGCGUUUAGUUGUCUUCUGAAGAAGGUGGAGAAUGGUGGCUAUCUUUCUAGGUGGUGGGUGAGGGGUAGAGGAGGGGAUGAGAUUCAGAUUUCCCAUUUAUUAUUUGUUAAUGACACUUUUGUGUUUUGUGAGGCAUCACAAGAUUAGAUGACUUAUUUGAGUUCGUUACUUAUGUGGUUCGAGGCAAUUUAUGGGUUGAGAAUUAACUUGGAUAAAAGUGAGUUAAUUCUUGUGGGGAGGAUGGACAACAUAGAUGAUUUGGCUUUGGAUUUGGGUUGCAAAAUCGGCGAUCUUCCCUUUUCUUACUUGGGUCUUUCUUCGGGAGCCUUUUUCAAAUUUGUGACAGUUUGGGAUGGGGUGGAAGAAAGGUUUCGCAAAAGGUUAGCCAUGUUGAAAAGAUAGUACAUCUUGAAGGAGAGAGACUUACUCUAAUUCGAAGUACUCUCUUUAGCAUGCCUAUCCAUUUCAUGUCUCUUUUUUGCAUGCCAAGGCAAGCUAGAUUGUAGUUGGAGAAGAUUUAAAGAAAUUUUCUUUGGGGUGGUGGGGCUUUUGUUCAGAAACCCCAUUUAGUAAGAUAGAAAAUGAUUUGUUCAGAGAGAAGGAAGGAGGGGCUUAAGUGUGAGGUGUUUUUUAGUGAUGAACGAAGCUUUCCUCUGUAAGUGGAGUUGACACUUUGCUAAUAAAAAAGGGGCACUUUGGAAGCAAGUCAUUAGUUAGAAGUAUGGUGAGGAUGAAGAGGGGUGGCGAUCCCAUGAGGUGGGAGGUAGGUAUGGCGUUGGUCUUUGGAAAAUCAUAAGAAAGGAAUCAGAUUUUUUAAACAGCAUAAUUUCUUUCUUUGUGGGAGAUGGUUAGAGAGUAAGAUUCUGAAAGGACAAGUGGUGUGGAGAUGAGCCACUUUGUGUUUUCUUCCCUUCCUUUUUUGCCCUAAUCAUUUCUAAGGAUGCAUGGGUGGUGGAUGUUUGGAACUUCAAAGGCAAAAGGGGUGGUUGGACUCCUUGCUUCUUUAGGUUGUUUAAUGAUUGGAGUAUCAUUGAAGGGAUGGUUGGGCGAAUGUUUGGAACUUCGAAGGCAAAAGGAGUGGAAAGAGUGGAGCACUUUUUGGUUGAAGAUUCAAGCAAAAAGGGUGUAUAGGGAUGAGGAAGAUAGGAUGAUUUAGACGGCUUCGAGGUGUGAAAACUUUUUAGUUAAAAUCCUUUUAUUUUAUUUUCGACCUCGGUGACCCUUUAUUGUUCUUGUGGAGUAUCAUUUGGAGAUCUUGUGCGCCACCAAAGGUGGCUUUUUUCACAUGGGAAGCAACACGAGGGAAAUCACUAACUUUGGAUUAGGUUCAAAGGAGGGGGGUUUCUUUGGCAAACAAAUGUUUUCUUUGCUAUUCUGAAGAAAAAGCUGUUGAUCACAUUCUUUUUCACUGUGCAAAUACGUGGAUUCUAUGAUAGUUACUUUUUUCUCUUUUUAGUGUAUCUUGGGUCCUUUCCUCUUCAGUUAAGGAGGCGCUCCUUAGGUGGCAUGAUUUUUUGUGGGUAAAACUCGUAAAAACUCUUGGAUGAUGACCCCUUUAUGUAUCUUUUGAAUGGUGUGGAAGGAAAUGAACAUGUUAGUGUUUGGUAAUGCGGAGUUGUUGGUCCAAAGGAUGAAAAAAAAUUUUGUUUAUAAUUUGUGGUCUUGGUCUAAGGUGUUUGUAGAUAUGGACCCUAGUUCUCUUGUUAGCUUUAUUGAUUGGCUAGGUUCUAAGUGAGGGCAGAUGGUGUUUUUUGUUUCUUUCUCUCCCACUUUGGGUGGUUGGUGUAUACUUCUUGUAUACUUUAGGACAAUAUUUUGGUGUUUCCUUUAUAUAUAUAUAUACUCUCUUACCUAUUAAAAAAAAAGAAAAAAAAAAGAACAUAUCAUGCUAUAAUCGGUGGGAGAUUUUGAUGUCUUGGAAUUUUGUCAUAAGUGGUACGGAUGGUUGGUAUUUGUUCCUAGGUUUAGGCAACAAACACAUUGGUGAUUGGUUUUGAAAUUCAUAAUUCAUUUGAUCUCCUGCCAAUCAUUCAUUUAAAGAAUCUCAAACUUCAUAAAUGUAGAAUUUGCAUAAAAUGUUAAUUAUCUUUGGUCUAUUAACCCAUUUUUGAACAAAGGAAGAUGAGAUAAAAGGUGAUGAUGAGCACCUCUAUUUUUUUAAUUUUUUUUUUAUAUAUAUCUUUGUUAACUAGGGAACCUCACCAUGGCAAGGUCCUUUGAGCCCACUUAUCCCAAAGUACUAACUAGGUCGCCAUAACCAACAUCAACAAAUAAAAAUAAAUAUAAAUAUAUAUUAAAGGUGCCAAUAAAAAAGAGGCGAGCAUAUUAUAUUGAAAGUAUACUUGUGAGAAAACAAAAAGAAGCAGACUACAACCACAACCACAAUCUAGUACUUAUAGUUCAACCACUCAGUAAAAUCUAUCAAGAAUAGUGGACAAGUUGGACCAUCAAUUAUAAGAUACCCUUGACACCACAUGUAUAGAUUAGAUAUAAGGGAAUUCUUGAGAGAUUGAUUAGUGCAUUGCACCCCUUUGAAGGUUCUUUGAUUUCAUUUCUUGAGAGCCGUCUCCAUGCCUUUCUUUUCUUUUUGUGUACAAAGUUCCCAUUCCAAUCCAUUAGCAAGUUCUUCACCAAAUAUGGGAGAACCCAUGAAGUGCCAAAUAAGGAGAACAAAAAGUGUUGUAGCCCUCUAGCUUCCACAUGACCAUCUCACUUUCUACCUUUCAAACAUCAUCCACCUAAACUUCCUUGGAAGUUGCAAAAUAGAAUAAAGAUGGAAAAAGAGUCCUUUAAUGGAACAUUGCUGAACCAUAUAUCAUGCUGGACUUUUAUUCUUCUCUCUCAUGACCCACCUCAAAUCUUGUUUUAAUUUAAAAAAAUUCCCAUUGUUUUCUUAUCGACUUCCAUAAGCUAACAUUAUAGCCUUUUUUUCCCUAGCCAAAGGCACCAUCUUCUUGGCUCUUCCCCCCUAAACUUUCCCACUAUGACCUUUCUCCAAAGCAUAUUCUUCUCCAAAGUGAAUCUCCAAUAUCAUUUACCUAAUAAAGUUUUAUUGAGAAUGGACAACUCCUUAUUGCCUAAACCUUUUCCUUUUAUCUUUGCAAAUUGUUUACUAUUUCACUACAUGAGGCUUUUUCUUGAGAGUCCCUCCCCAUAGGAAAUCUUUUUGAACUUUUCCUAGUCUCAUAGUCACUAACUUGGGAAUAACAAAAAGGGCAAUGAAUAAUAUCAGUAAGCUACCAAGAGUACUUUUAAAAAAGUGAGUCUUUCCCCUUUUGAGAGGUAUUGCCUUUUCUUUUCCUUUUUUUUUUUUUUUUUUGAUAGGCAAAUAGGAAUAGAAAUAUAUUAAAGGCACUAAUGAAGAAAAAGCAAGCAUAGUAUCUUGGAAGUAUACAAGUGACAAAACAAAAAAAGCAAGCUACAACCCCGAUCUAAUACUCAAAGCUCAACCAUUUGAUAAAAUCAAUCAAGGAAAGGGGACUAACUUGAUCAUCAACUAUGAGGUAGUGCCUUUUCCAUAGAGCUAGUCUUUUGGAGAGCCCCUUCUCUGUCACAUCUCAAGUAGUUGAAGCCUUGAAGGGAGCACCCACAACCCUGAUCUAAUAAUUAGAGCUUAACCACUUGAUAAAAUUAGUUAAGGAAAAGGGACCAGCUCGGCCAUCAACUAUGAGGUAAGUGCCUUUUCCAUAGAGCUAGUCUUUUGGAGAACCUCUCUUAUACCACAUCUCAUUUAGCUGAAGCCUUGAGGGGAGCACCCAAGGGUAAGCCUAAGUGGUAGACAACUUUCCCACUCCGUAUCCCAAUAUUGAUGCUUGCUCCUCCACAAUUGGGAACUCUCCCAGCAGAAUUAGUUCUCUUUUAUUUAAGUUAAUUUUUAGCUUUGAAAAAGCUUCAAACCAAGAUAGAACCCAAGCCAUAUAGGUCAAUUGCGGUAGAUAAGGUUCACAAAGAAAAAUGGUGUCAUAAGUGAAUAGAAGGUGAGAAAUCUCCAUUGCUCCACCUCCCCUUGAAACCCAUAAUGAAGCCACCCUCCCAUGCGUUUCUCAAGAGAAUGCUAAGAGCCAUAUAAAAAGAUAAGGAGAAAGGUGGUCCCCUUUCUCAACUAUGUACUUUAAAAAAACCCUGAGGCACACCAUUUACCAAAACUGAAAACAUUGCUGUUGGGAUAUUAAAUUGAAUCCGCUUAAUCCAUUUUUUCCUAAAGCCUAUUUUUGGCAUCACCCCUAAAAGGAAGCUCCAAUUUACAUAGCAUAGGCUUUUUCUCUAUCUAACUUACAAACAACUCCUCUAUGACUCCUCAAUCUCGAGUCUAUGAUGUAUUCAACAAUGAAUGUAUUUGGAAGUUAUUUUCUUCCUUAAAUGGUUGAUAUACAUUUUAAAAAGAACUUUGCCCGAAUGAUACUCAUUGACUGGUAAUAAAAUAAUAGGAUUACAAGGAUAUUUGGGCUUUGAAGACGAUAGAAUAUUAAUCAAAUUUAUUAAUAUCAUUGAUGAUAUGUAGGAUAGAGUAGUAACAAGCAUGAAGAGUGUUGAGGUUUCAAUCAUAAUAGGCUUACAUCUAGGAUCAUCAUUAAUUCUUUUUCACUCAUGGUUGAAUUUAGUAUGCAUAUUCAUGAAGAUUUUCUAUCAUCCGUGUGUUCUUCAUAUGGUUUGGUUACAAACCAAAGUAGGUGUUAUUAAUUAUGGUGAAAAACUUUAGGAUGUAGAGGUUGUGGGUAAGUAGAAAUAAAACAAUGUAUGCACUAGAAGUGGAGUGGGAAUAUAGUGAAGAUUGGUGGUUAUGGAAUAACUAAAAGUUACUGUUGUUCUUAUCUUGGAUCAAUUGUCCAUAUGGAGAGAAAGAUUGAGGAGGAUGUCACCCAUACCAUAGGAUGUGUUUGGGGUAGAAGCGUCUCUUGAAUGUCAUUUGAUAAAUGAACACUUGUAGUCCAAGACAAUACUAAUAUGAUGGUAGUAGUGACCUCAAAUGAGUAGGGAUGACAAUGGGGCGGGUUUUUUCGGGUACUUGCCCUGCCUUUAAUGGGAUAGGGUUGAAUUUUAAUAAACGGGUUUGGGAUUUUUUUUUAAAACCCAGGGCGGGUUCGGGUAUUGCCCCGCCCUGCCCCAACCCGAUUAUAUAUAAAAUUAAUUUAAUUUAAAAUUUAAAAAUAAUUUAAUUUAAUUUUUAUUUUACUAUUUUUAAUAUAUAGAUAAUAAAAAAUAUUUUUAAUAAAAUAAGUUAUAAAAAAUAUAAUAAUUUAAUUAUUUAUAAAAUAUAUUUAUCUUAAUGUAAUUAAAAUUUUUAAAAGUAAUUUUUUAAAAAAAAUUAAAAUUAAAAAAAAAAGUUAAACGGGGCGGGGCGGGGCGGGGUGGGUUUGAGAAUAUAUCAUACCCGCUCCGCCCUGUUUAAAUUUUUAAAUGGGACGGAGAUGAGAAUUGUUUUGAAUAAAUGGGACGGGGUUUGGAUGGGGGCGAACCGUCCCGAACCUGCCCCGUUGCCAUCCCUACAAAUGAGGAAAGGAUGAGGGAAAGUUCUUUAAGAUGGGUUGACUAUGAAAACAAAGAUCCAUGACAACACUAGCAUGAAGAAGUGAUGUGCAAGUUGAAGGCACCAGGAGGAUUUGAUUAUCUUAUACUUUUCUAGAUGGAGUUUAAUGGUGAAAAAGGAUUUGUGUUGCUAGUACUUCAUAGUUUACUUGACAAGGAUGCAUGAAUUGUCCAGUAACACCAACCACAUAAGAUGUUUUUUUUUUAUGAAGAAACCCCACAAACCUCUAAUUGUGUAGGAUUAGGAGAUAUAGCAGCUAACCAUGCGAUGCCAUCUUGUUUCACUGCUUGUCAAUAAACUGUGGCCUUGAUUGUCAAGCUAGAAAAUCUCCGAUAUGGUAAUUACUGCAACAUUGUUGAUACUUGUUAUGAGCUGAUCAGGUUUCAGUACAUUGGAUGACUGUUUAAAAUCAUUACUCCCUUUUCUAAGGGAGGGAGAAUCACUCUAAUCAAAGGCACUUUAUUGAGCCUUCCAAUCUAUUUCAUGUCCUUGUUCAUCAUUCCAAGAAGGUUAGUUCAAUAUAUUUCAUGUCCUUGUGGCUUUUUGGCCCUUUCUAUAUAUAUUGUUGUUUAUCUAUCAAAAAAAAAAAAAAGAAGGUUAGUUCAAGACUUUAGAAGACCCAAAGAGACUUUUUAUGGGGAGGUUGUGUGCUGGAGAAAAAAACCUCAUCCGAUAAAUUGGACCAUAGUCUGCUUAGAAAAGAAAGUUAGGGGUCUUGGUGUCUGUAAUCUUUGAACCUUAAACAAGGCUUUGCUUGGUAAGCAGAUUUGAAGAUUUGCUACUACAUGGAAGUCCUUUUGAAAACAUAUCAUUAUAAGGAAGUCCGAAGAGGAGGAAGGGGAUGGUGUUUGAGAAGGGUGAGAGAAGGAUAUGGAGUGUAGGGAUGUGCAAAGCCAUAAGAAAUGAGUGGAAAGGAAUAAAAAGUAGAUCUUGCUUUACAAUUGAGAAUGAGAGAAGGGUUGAAUUCUAGAAAGAUCUCUGGUGUAAUGAUUUACCCUUAAAAAAUGUCUUCCUAAACUUAUUCUAUAUUGCAUCUAACAAAGAUGGGUGGGUAGUAAAGGCGUGGGGGCAGGUUGGUGAAGCGGGAGGUUGAAGCCCCUGCAUUUCAAGGCAUAUCAAUGAUUGGGAGCUUAAGGAAUUGGAGUUUUCUAUGGAAAUUGAAAACAUUGUCAAUUAAAAGGAAAAUGGAGGAAAAAUUGAGAUAGAAUGAGGCCAAAAGUGGCAAAUUUUCAGCUAGAACCUUUUAUUCAUCCUUGGUUAGGGGAAAUAAAGAGCCCUUUCUAGCAAGUGUAGCCUUGUUGGUAUGGGCAAACACUAGGAAGUGUGGUCCUAGAAAGUGGCAUAUGAUCUUGAGUUCAAAUCUUGCCAUUGAUGAUACCCUAAAUUUACCCGAUGCUGGUUGUUCUGGGGCGGUUAGCACCUCGAGGUUUGGGUUUCCAUAGAGUUCUAAGGGCUUGGCUAUGGAAGGUUACUCAGUUAUAAAAAAAAAUAAAAUAGAGAGCCCUUCCUAGCAAGUGUAGUGUGGAGUACAUGACCACCAACAAAGGCUGGCUUCUUUGCUUGGGAAGUAACUUACGGCAGAAUUUUAACACUGAAACAACUCAAAAGGAGAGGGUGGACUUUGCUGAAUAGGUGUUAGUUGUGCAAAGGUAAGGAGGAAUUGACGAAUCACUUGCUUUUCCAUUGCUUUGAAGCAAGUAUGUUAUGACAAUUGUUAUUUUCUCUCUUUGAAUUGUUUUAGGUGAUACACUUUUCAAUAGAAGGAACCUUUUAGGAUGACAUGACUCUUUUAUGGAGAAGAAACAAAAAAAGCGUGGAGGAUUGCACCUUGUGCUUGUUUUGGACUCUUUUGAAGGGAAAGAAACAAGAGGACUUUUAAUGACAUUGAGAAGUCAGAUCAAGCAAUCAAAUAUAACUUUCUGUAUGCUUUUGUAAAUUGGAUUAGGAUGUAAAUAGAGGAUUACUCAAUGACAAUGAUGGACUUUGUAGAUUGGUUGAGCUUAAGUAAGGGGAAGGUUUUUUUGUUUAUCUUGUCCUUGUCUAGACAAGGUGUCUUUUAUAUGUUAGGACACCUUCUUUUAGGUGCUUUUAUACAUUUUUUGUUUUACCUACCAAAAAAAAAAUGGAAAAUCAAUACCCAAUCAUAUCCCACUUGUAGGGAGCCAUACCUUACAUGUCUAGUAACUUUGGUAAAGUUCUCUCUUUUUAUUUUAUCAGUAAGCAAGAAAAUAUUAUAUAUAUAAGGUACAUAGAAUGUAUACAAUGGGUACUAAAAGACAUUACCAAAAAGAGAGAGAACAUUAAAAUAACUACUCCUUCCCUUAGCUAGAUCCCGCCCAAUCUACAAAUUAGGCCUUUACAUGCUAACCCAUAACACUAGAUUCUUAAGGAAAAAACACUUUAGUUCUUGAAUUGAUUGUUUCUCACUGUUGAACACUCUUACAUUUUCUUCUAAAAUGUAUAGGAGAGUGGCUCUUUUAACCUUCUUACGUUUUCUUCCCACAAAGGAGUCACACUAACUUAAAAGAGUCUCCUUGACUUAUAGAAGGAAGGACCCACAUAAUGUCAAUCAAGGUAAACAAAAAUUGUCAUAAUGCCUUUAUUUUUGCACAAAUGAGACAUUUGUUUGCCAAUGACCACCCUUUCUUUUGAAGUUGAUCUAAAGUUAACACCUUACCCCAACUAACUUCCCAUGAAAAAAAAAAAAAAACCUCACUUUUGAUGGAAAUAAUGGCCAUCGAGAAAAGGGGUUGCAUGCCCUAGCUCCAAAAUGGAAUAUAAAGAUUUGACAAAGAAUACCCCAUUCCUAGAAUCCAUUUAUACCACUUUUAUCUUUUUCUUCUCUAUUCAUGGACCUUCCUUGUAGCCUUGAGAAAAAAGCCUCUACAUUAUCUAACUUCCAAUCAUCCCAGUGUCUAACAACAUGAGGAUUCUAAGUGGCCCCCCUCACCUAGAUCAUCCGAAAGAUCCACCUUCCAAACUUCUUUUGAUAAUGCUAAGGUAUACAAGGGUAGAAAAGAGCCACAUAAGGGUUCAUCACCGCACGACAUAUAACUUCACCCUCUUCCCAUUUCUCACCUCAAAGGAUGUUUCUUGCCAAUCAAAUUCUAUAUUUUUCUGUAAUUUUUCCAUACCCAAACCUCAUACCCUUCACUCACUUUGCAAGAAUACUAACCCCCUCAUCUUCUCCAUACUUUCCUCGAAUGACCUUUUCCAAAAGGUUUCUCCUUCCAAAGAAUAUUUCCAACACCAUUUUCCUAAGAGAGCCUUAUUAAGCGAGGAAAGAGAUCUGAUUCCUAGGUCCCCUUUGCUUAUCUCCCUACUAUCAAUUGACCAUUUCACUAAAUGCAUUUUGUUCUCUGAAGCCAUGCUUCCCAAAGGAAUGCUUUUGGAAUUUUCUUAAGCCUCAAUUUGACUUUUUGGGGGGCAUGCUCAGUAAGGACAAAAUAAAUAGGCAAACUGGACAAAGUAUUUUGAAUUAGAGUAACCCUCUCCCUUUUUGAAAUAUAUUGUUUUUUCCAUAAUGAUAGUCUUAUGUGAAAUCUUUCUUUCAUGUUAUCCUAAAUUGACUUUACUAUGAAUGGAGCUCUAAGAGGAAGCCCCAAGCUACUUUGGAAGCUCCCUAACCAUGCAUCCCAAUUUUAAAGUCAAUUUCUCCACAUUAACACUCCCCCUAUUGGGAUCAAUUCACUUUUCUCAAGGUUAAUUUUUAACCCCGAGAUAGUUUCAAACCACAUAAGUAGCCAACUUAAAUAGGGUUCAAAAUCUUAGCAGGGGCUGGUAUGACUUUGCCAAGUCAUCUACCUCAGCUAAUAUCAUUACGAUACCAAGAACCAAGUCCAAUAUUUUGUUGAAUUGCAAAAUAACUCAGUUGACUAAGAGAUAGAUCGAAGCUUUUGAAGAAGGGAUUCAAGUCUCACACCUAUUUUUUGUAGACAAUAUUCUUCUUUUAUGUGGGGAUAAUGUAGAUCAAUUGAAAUAUUGGAUGUUAAUAGUCACUUGCUUUGAAAUAGUGUCAGGUUUGAAAAUAAAUAUGAAAAAAAGUGAAAUUAUUCUAGUGAGGGAGGUGGAGGAUGUGGAUAGAGUACUUUUUUUGGUUGCAAAGUAGGGAGACUUCCUACUUCUUAUCUUGGUUGCAAAGUAAGUCUUGUGGUGGGUGGGAUUCAAUCGAAAGAAGAUGUUUAACAGGAAAUUGAUUGCUUGGAAAAAGUAGUACCUGUCCAAAGGAGGAAGACUAGUCCUUACUAAGAGCACUCUAUCAAAUCUCCCUAUCUAUUUUAUGUCCCUCUUUGCAAUUCUUAGAAAAGCAAGAAUUGGAUUAGAGAGAACUCAAAGGGACUUUUUGUGGGGAGAUACGAAAGAAAGAAGAAAGAUCCAUUUGAUAAAUUGAUUAGAUGUUUGUAAGGAUAAGAAGUACGGAGGGUUGGGUUUAAGAAGAUUGGAGGGCCUUAAUCAAGUCUUGCUAGGCAAAUGCUUGUGGAGGUUUCCUUUUGAGAGGCAAAACUUGUGGAGGAAGAUUAUACAUAGAAAAUUUAGGGAGAUUGAAGGGGGAUGGAUUACCAAAGGGGUGAGGGAUUCUUUUAGGAUGAGCCUAUGGAAAGACAUUAGAAAUGGUUAGGAAAAUUUCAAUCUUAAAUUAAUUAUUUGAAUCAUAAAUGAUAAAUAUACAAGAUUUUGGUAGGAUAGAUGGGUGAGGGAGGUUAAGUUAAAAGACACAAUCCUUAUGCUUUUCAAAAUAACCUGCACCAAAAAUGCCCUGGUUGCAGAUUUAUGAGGUGGAGGAGGAGUUGAAGAUGACAAUUGGGAAGUUCAAUUUAGAAGAUCUUUCCAAGAUUGGGAAAUAGAGGAGGUGACCCAAUUUCUAGAGCUUAUUUACCCUUUGAAUAUGCAGAAAGGAGCGGACACUUUACUUUAGAAAGAUGAUAGGAGGGGAAAUUUCAGUGUUAGGCUGUACCACAAAUCCUAAGUGAUGAGAAUAAUUUAGUAUUCCCAGCCAAAGAGAUUUGGGGAUCCCUAACUCCCCUGUGUUUUUUUUUUUUUUAAAAAAAAAAAAUGCAUGGGAAGCUGUUUGCGGGAAGAUAUUAACUGCAGAUAAGUUAAUGAAGAGGGGAUGACCCAUGGUCAACAAAUGCAGCCUUCGUAAAGGCAAUGAAUAAUCAACUAAUCACAUCUUGAUUCAUGUGAUAUGACAAGAGUGCUAUGGACUUUUCUGUUAGUAGUUUGUGACUUGAAUUGGGUGUUUCCUAUUUAUUGAGAAAUCUCCUACUUGAAUGGAAAUUUAAGGGGCUAGAUAAGAAGAGAAGAAAUAGUUUGAUGCAUGGCUCUGAUUUGUCUAUUUUGGUGCAUUUAGAAAGAGCGCAACUGAAGGACUUUCAAUGAUGGAGAGCUUUCAUACCAAAGAUUGAAGGAGUUCUUCAUUAAAUCGCUAUUAGAGUAGUCUCAUGCUUCAUUGGAGAUGGAGAACCCCUCUAUUUUGGAUUUCUUAGAUGUUCUUCUUUGUGGUUAGCUUGGCUUGCUUUUGUAGGCUAACCUUGUAUAUGUUUGGUGCUUGUUUUGUGAUGUUUUGUGCAUACUGCCUAUAUACAUAAGGUGCACCCUUCUUUUUGGCCCUUCUUAAUACAUGCUUUUGUUGUCUAUCAAAAAAAAAAAAUUGUGGCUUAAGUUUGAUCAUGGCUUUCGUGACCUUAUUUCAGUUAUAAAAAAGUAUGCAAGCCUACCAUUGUGGGGACAUGAGGUCUUUUUGUUUGUGCAGAGGGAUAUGAUGUUCUCUUUUGUUACAUGGGCUUGAGUGGCCUUUUUUUUUUUUCAUUUUUGUUCCCCAUUGGAAUAUGUUGUUCAUUGUUUUCAUGGCUAUAAUUUUGAGGGCUAGGGUUGGAGAAUGCACUAAAAAUAUUUGAAGUACUGCAGACUCAAAUCUGAGUGUAAUGCAUUCUUUUGUGCUAUUUGGAAAGAUUAUGAUGAAUCAAAUGCUUUCUAAUUUUAAAUAAAUCUUUUGGCCUUCAAUAUUAUAGAACAUGAGACCAUUUAUCAUGUCCCAAUGUAUUCCAACACUAGUUUCUUGUUUCCUGUCUUGUUUGAGUUGGUUUAGUGAAAAUGAAGAACAUUCUGAGAAAGGGGUAAUGAUUACAAAUCCCAAGUUGUCAGCAUUUAUUUUUAACUGGCUUUGAAGUUUUAACUUUAUGUGGAUAUAAGCCUACACUAAAAUAUUUUAAGCUGAUUGGCCCAAAUUUAUCUAGCCCAAGUGUGAUAAUUCCUUACUAGAGGCUUCUUAUGGUUGUAGCAAGGUAUCACUGUGGGAGUACAAGAAGCCUUCUUUGCUUCUGUGGAAGGAUAAAGUGUCCUUCUGAUACAUGGGCUUAAGUGGCCUUUUUUCAUUACAUUUUUACUUUUUUGUUCCCUGUUGGACCAUGUUAUUCACUGUUUAUUCAAGCCUAUACAUUUAUGGGCUAGAGUUGGAGAAUGCACUAAAAUAUUUGAAGUACUGCAGAAACAUAUCUUAUUGCACUCUAAAUGUUAUUUGGAAAAAUUAUGAUGAAUCAAAUGCUUUAUAAUUUAAAAUAAAUCUUUUGGCUUUGACUAUUACCGAGCAAUUAGAAUCUUAAAGGAGUUUCAAUUGUACAUGUAAUGUUGUUCUUAAUUGUGUUUUCUAAUUGACAGCAUCACCAUUUACUACUUUGCCAAGGAAGAGUCCAACUGUAGGUUUUCUCCACUAUUUCCUGAAGCCUAUAUGCCAGUGAGAAUCCCUUUUCAGAAAGGACCUGGCCAGAAAUUUCGUCAGCCUUCUGGAACUGGUAUUGACUUAGGCUUCUUUGAGUUGGAUGAUCUCUCGAAACCAUCACCUGGAGAAGAUGUAUUUCCUCUUGUCAUCUCUGCUGAAACAUCUCUCCCCCUUCAUCCAACUGAUGAACAUAGUGGUGAUCCUACGCCACGUACAUCCCCUCACAUGCAGAUUACUCAAGCUGUCCUAGAGAAGCACAAUGGGGACCCUUUCCAAGUGAGAGUAAUCAGACAGAUAUUGUGGGUCAAUGAGGUUCGCUAUGAGCUGCGUGAGAUAUAUGGAAUUGCAAGCUCAGCAUCAGAAGGCUUUAAUGACAAUGACUCUGGGAAGGAAUGUGUGAUUUGCAUGACUGAACCAAAGGAUACUGCUGUUUUACCUUGCCGACAUAUGGUAAGUCUCCACUAUAUUAUAUUGAAAGAAAUUCAGACUUAAUUUUAGGUUAGCAACUAUAUACUGCCUAUGCACUCAUAGGAUAAGGAGCUGUAUGGUUAAAAGUGAUAUGAGAUGGGCUCAAGCCCAAUAUGCUGGAGCACAUGUCUGAUAUUGAUGAUUUACAUAAAGGAAAAUCAGAGAGGAAAGAGUAGAUUUUACGUCAGUAUUCUUGACAUGUUGUCGAUCGCACAUGAGCUUGUCUCAUCUGUUCAUCUGUUUGCUAUUACUUAGACGCUACCUAGGAUUUCAUCUAGUCAGUCAUACUAUUGUUGUUUUCUGGUUGGUGAAGAAAGUCAGGUUAUUUAGAUGGCAUUCUGACUUUAGACUUGGAAUUUUGGAUCUUCCUUCUGUAUGAUUUUCUUUCAAUCAUUAUAAAUGAUGUAGAUUUAGCAUUUGGAGGACACACGCUCAUGCGCACACGCGUACACACACAAAUACAUAUACACACAGACUUACCUACAUGCAUCAACCUUUUGCAAUGCUUUUAUGUGAUAUUUAUUGUCCCUAGAAAGGCUAAUAUACAAGAUUUCCACUAUUUUUUGAGAGUGUCAUUUAUUAGCAAUUGUUUCAAUUCUCAGAAAAUAGUGGACUUCUAGUGGGGUGUUUAGGGGGGAAUUGUUUGGAAUACUGGAGGGCAAUAACUGAGAUGUUUUAACCAUAUUGGAGAAACUUGUGACAAUGAAUGCAAAUAACAAACUGAAAUGUCCUUUCUAUACCUCACCUGCUCUAUUUUCCACUGCUAAAUGUCGGUUACUUUUUUCUCAAGUUGAACAUGUUGCAAUUUUCAGUGUAUGUGCAGCGAGUGUGCAAAAGAAUUGAGGCUCCAGUCGAAUAAGUGCCCCAUAUGCCGUCAGCCCAUAGAGGAACUUAUAGAGAUUAAGAUUGAUAAUGAUCAGUAAGAGAUUCUUUUCUUAUAUGAUAGGAUAGCUGUAUUCUUUCUGCGUAUGUGAGUUGGCCUGUUAUGCCUGUUUUAUAUAUGUAUUCUAAUCUUUGUAUAUUGUUAAUCGUCUUUUCAGCUUUUGAAUCCCAAAGAUGUGCCCUGUAAAGAUGAUUGUGUUAAAUCCAUUCUUCCAGGAAAGAACUUGAAUUUUUAUUUUUUAUUUGUUCAAAAAAAGGCAAAAGCUUUAUAAUUCCCACCUAUGUACAAAUCUGUAUAUUGUCUUCUACAAUCUUUGAUUGGGUUCAUUUUUUAGUGCUCCUGCAAAGUGACUGGCUUUUUAAAUUAAGUUUGAAGUGUACGCAUCAUUGGUUGAAGAAGCCCUUUGUUGUUGAGGUUGCAUGUUUCUUUGAAUAAUCUUUCUUUUAUUAUAAACAACUCUACCUGUCAAUACUGAUUGAUGACAUGAUAUCUAUGCAAAUGCUGAAAUGCGUUUGAGUUUUCUUCAUUCCACUGCCUUUUCUUGUAUGACUGGGUCCAUGGUUGAAAUUUCAGCUAGUUUUUCAUCCUGGGGAAGGAAGAAUGGGUAUAUAUUUAUUUAUUAAAAGGGGGACGAAGAACCAGUAGUGAGUAUGGAGAUUCAAAAAGCAAUAAAGAGAACUUUGAAGGCUAGUAGACUGGAUGAACAUUCUAAGGAAUUGCCCUUUUUCCUUUGUUCUGCUAGCAGCCAAAAAGUGUGGCUGAGAGAGAAUAUUUGCUAUCCAGAAAAAAGAAAAAAAAGCAAGGGAAUAUUUGCUAUAGAAGUUAGCAUUAUGAUUUACAGAUUAAGAAUCUCGAAAGCGUAAGUGGGGCCUUGAGAGGUUUUUUGCUUGACAGAAAAGGAUACUAGGCACUGCAAUAAUACUAAUCAUUCUUCGUAUCUCUUGAACUUCCACCCACAUAUAGCUUUGUUGAUGUGAAAUGGAAGAGAUAAUGCCACAUCAGAUUUGGGAGUUUUGUGCAGCUAGCUUCUCAAGGAAGAGUGGGACUGCUCUCCACUUUUACUAAUGCAGACUCUUGUAAAAAGUCAUGGCCUCUGCAAAUUGGGGUAUGCAAAUUGUUUCUUGAGAUCUGUUGAUGACUAAGUCAUUUUUGGGUAUUUCCAGCAUCUUUUUGUAGCUUCAUUUGCACUAUCAAUUAGUGUAUUGUGGUUGUAUCAUGAUCAUAUGGAAGGCAAAAAGGGUAUUGAGCUGCCAUUUGAAAUGUAGGGUAUUUUCAUAUUACUCUGUUCCUUGCAUAUUUUUGAAAAUUCUAGGAGAAAAGCUGAAUGUUGAAGUUAUAGUAGAAAACCCAGUUCUGAUGAAGACUAAUGGCUCUGACCAGGGCUUCAACAUAAACCCAGCUUCUUGAAUGGAUGGCCAAAUCCUGGGACCACCCCAUUCAAUUCUUGAGGAUGUGACAGCUUCUUAAAUGUAUGCUUGAGUGUACACACCCUUACAUUAAAAGUUAUAUUCUUAAUAGCUCUUAUAUUAGUAUGGUUGUUAAAGUGACCGGGUCAUUUGCCUCCCUGUUUUGCCUCUUGAAGCACUCUAGCCUCUUACGUGAAAACUGGCGAAGAAGCUAAGCAAGUGGUGAUGAAAGAUGUGGGUAUCAUUAGUAGAAAGAUUUAUUCAUUUGGGUUCAUCUAGCUUGUCUGGUUGCAUUUGGUUUAGGUGCGUGUGGGGCUGUCGAAUUCUUGGAAUGAAUAAUAAGAUUUGGUGGAAGGAAUCACUACUUAGUAAAUAUGGAAGGAGUUUCAUCUACUCCUUUCCGGUUUAGGCUUUGGCUUCAUUUGCUUGCGGAGAAUUGGUAGUAAAAUCCAAUCCCAGACUUGAAAAAUUGAAAAUUCUUGCAUUUACUGCAUAAUUGGUUUUCUUGAAUUUGAGGUCUGUAAGUUACAGACCCACUACUAAUCCUCUUCAACAGAAAAGAAAAUAAAAAAGUUUGGAGGUUUUUCUUCAAAGGUAGAUUUUUUCUAUUUUUUGGUCUAAGUUUGAAGGGUGUAUAAAAUUGAAAAUAACUCUUGUGAUUAUGGGAUACAGCAGGAGAAAGAAAAUAAAAGUAAAGAGAAAGAAAACCAAUGGAAAGGUUUCCCAAGUAAACAAAACUUUCUGCCUCAUCCUUUACCAAAAAUUUGCCUAUAAAUGCAGAAAUCUAGAGUUGGGAGGAAGGCAAAGUGCAGGGGCCAUGUGAAGAUGCAUGUAAGUAUAAAUGAGGGUUAGAUGGUUAUAAAUGAAAGAUCUCCUCAAUCUCAUAUAUACCCAUCACUGCCCAUGGACCCAUGUUCUGCACAUGUGAUUCCUUGCACAUACAUGGUAAACCCACUGCAUAAUUGCCCACAUUUCCUCUUGAGUCCCAUUCACACAAAAAGGCAUCUACCAUCUACCCCAAAUCUAUUUAUACCCUAUUUGAUUUUUUUAUUUAUUUAAAAAAACCCCUUUUUGAAACAACUUUGAUACAAAAUCAAUGCAUAUUUCCUGAAUUAACUUUUCAUUUCCAUUUAUAUUCUAGGUUUGAGAAACAUAUUAGCUGGCCAGAGCUGGCUGGGAAUGUAGCUAAGCCAAUGAAACACUGAUUACCAAUUAACCUAUGAGGCAGAUUAGUAACAAUAAAUGGGGGCUGAAUGGUCAUCUGAUCCAGCAACCACCCUUCUGAUCCAAGCCUCUGCUUAAAGUAGACCAUGCUCUCUUUUGCCUAAACCAGGGUAGGAAAGCCAUUAUGUUUGGGCCCUUUGUCACAUUCACAUUCCUUUUACAAGCAAAGUGGGGACUGGGAAAUAAAAAAGAUAGAAGGACAAAGCCAUGAGGGUUUCAUCACUGGUUAGACUUUUAAGGAAGACAUCAAUAUUUUGCUUGUAAAAGAAGAGCCCAAUGGCCAUUGCAAACCUUGAUUUAUCUUCAUUUGAGGGUUAGUUUUGGCUACCUUUCUCCCCCUAAUUUCUAGUAAAUCAACACUUGAUUGGACCCAAUGGGCUUUUAAUAUAGUUGAGAAGGUAUCCAAUACCUCUAGUGUACCAUGUGAUCAGGCUGGCAUGGUACAACCAAACAAGGCUCUUUGUCAUUUGUCAAUUGUUAAUCUAAAAUUCAGAAAGUUAAAAGUAGUCAAUUAAAUUCCUACUAAAAGGGAAAUCUUAUUAAAUAAUUUCUACUUCCAUUUUUUUUUUCAAGAUCAAACUCAAUUAUUUUUUUUUUUCUUGUCCUUCUCUUGGGUGAACACCUCCUACCAACACCCUUUCUAUCAUGUGUCAAUAAAUUAAAAAUUCAAAAAGUUAAAAUUAAUUAAUUAAAUAUAUAUAAAUGAUGACUAUUUGAAAUCUAACCAUAUAAAAAGAAAAGGAGAAGAUAUUUAUAACCUAAUUUUCUAAGAGGAAGCCUUUGUUUAUGUCAUUUUCUUUGAAAAGGAUCUCUCAAAAGAAUUGAAAUAUGAGUACCAAGAAGAAAGAAAAGAAAAUGAGAAAACUUUUGCAAUUUGAUUUUCUAAUGAGAAGCUUUUGUUGGAUGUCAUAGUUUCUAAGCUAACUAACAUGAUCUUUUUCAAUUAAGCAAGCUUUUAGCCAAAUUAGAAAUUGCUGCCUUUUCUUUUGAAAAAUUACUGAAAGGGUGUACGGUUCUCAUAGAUGGUUGAAUUUUCUUUCAUUUUGUUCAUUUAAUUUCAUAUAUCAAAGUGGACCUAGGCCUUCUAAAUCAGUCUCCUGCUAGGCAGCUUUAGCUGGAAUUUUUGUUUUUUUUUUUUUUUUUGUUUUUUGGUCUAGUGUGUUUUAUGUGGAUUUGGAAAAUUAUCAUUACAUUUACUAAAGAUGUAGUGUCAUUUCGAACAACACUUUGGAUUUUAUAAUUUUAUUCGAGCUUAAGUUGUCCUUUUUUAUUAAUUGAUUAUUUUAUUUUAUUUUAUUUUUAAAAACAACCAUAUUAGAUGGAAUAAGAUAUAUGUUUAAUGACUUAAAUUAUGUUAUUAAGUUUGUUUGGUAAAUGGUUUCAAAACGUUCUUUGAGUUUUUUUAAUUAGAAUCAACAAUAAGGUUAGAAAUGAAACGAGAAAGAUAGUGGAAAUCCAAAGGUUAGAAAUGAAACGAGAAAGAUAGUAGAAAUCCAAAUGAAAAACCUAAGGAUGUCAUUUGGUUGGGAUUUUAUCAUUCUUUUAAGGUAAAAAAAUUAAGUAUUUGUUAACUAUGUUUUUAAUUUUUUUGAAUAUUAAAUAUGUUUGAUAAUUAUAAUUUAUUAUUUUAGUUUUAAAAAUAAAAAAUAUGUUUAGCAAUUAUAUGACAACAAAUUAGAUAAAAAAUCUAUUUUUUAAAUGAUUUUUUUUUCAAAGAAAAAAAUAGUUAAUUUAUAAUUAAAAUUGAAAAUUCAAAUUUUGAUUUACUUAGAAUUAAAUUUGUAUUUUCAUUGGAUUCAGAUGUGGAGUAUUAACAUUAUAAGCUUAAAUUAAAUGAAGAUAUAUAUACAACUAAUCUUUAUAAAUUGUGUCAUUAAGGUAUACGAGCUUGAAAGGGGACUAUUAGGGACUGUAGAUAAAUACAUGCUCCCUUAAAAUUCAACUCUAAAAUUGAUUCAUCAUUACAUUAUAAAAAGUCAAUUGCACUCCAAUAUCCUAUAAUAUUAUAAUAAGAUGAAAGAACUUGAGUUUAUGACCUAUUAUUCACUCCAUAUAGACACCUUAUGAAUUAAUAUUCAUAAUCUAACAAGGUAAAUGUAGAAAAUACAUGGAUUACUUUAUUCCCAACCUCGGAUCUUUUAGGAUGCACGUAACUAAUCUUAGGGCUCUCUAAUUUAAACACAAUGGAAAACAUGUCAAACCUAAAUCUAAAGGUUAGGGGUGCUUCACCUUAAAUUUAGAUGUUUCUAGAUCAAUUCCAAUUCAAUAAAGAGACUUUGUAGGUUUCACAAGUCUCAUAAACCAAACAACCUUCCACUUGCUUAUUCUUUCUAAUGAAUCUAGACAUUAAAAACAGGGUGGUUUUCUCCCUAGAGGAAGAGGUUGGGAUUUCUUUCUAGAAUCUAAAAAGACAAGCAUAAUAUAAAACCUUAAUCCAUAAUAUAAAACCUUAAUCCCCAAGGGGGUUUAUAUAGACUUCUUAGUGGGAUUAAGUGAAACUUUGACUAAGAUCACUUAAUCUAGACUACUUGAGUCCUAAUCAAUUAAUUAGUCUUAUUUGGGUUCCAAUUAAUUAAUUAUCUUAGUCUAAAAAUACCAUUCAUAAAAUCCAAUGCAACCUUUUUUUUUACCAUAAUGCCCUUAUGCACACAUAUGAAUUAGACACCCUAAAAUUCCCUAAAAAAUUAUGUCACAAUGAAUGAAAAGCUCGAGUGAAGACCAUUAAGACCCAUAGGAAAAUACUAGCUCUUUUAAAAUCAAAUUUUGCAGUUGAUUCAACAUUCUAUUAUAAGGAGUUAAAUGCACUUCAAUAUCUUAUGAUAUUACAAUAAAAUACAACUUGUGUCCAUGAUAUACUAUUUAUUGCAUGCAAACUCUUUUAUUGGGCUCAAGUUACUUAAGCCUAUUAGGGAACCUUACAAAUACCCUUUUAAGGGUUAGGUUUUUCAGAACUUUGCCAUAGAGUUGUCUUCCACCACCAGAGAGAAAGAGAAUCAUGGUUUCCAUCAUCUCCCCUACUUCCUCCCACUUGAAGUGUGCCAAGAUCAAGGAAGAGUCAUCAAACGACUAAGUCCAAUAUUAGUUCAAGUAACUUUUUAGGCUUAAAUCACUUAAUCCCACAAGUAAACCUAUAUAAACCCCUUGAUGGGUUUAAGUCUAGUAUUUUUCCAUUCAAUCUUCUAGAAAUUGAAACCCUUAGUCUUCAUCUCAUAGAGAUGAUUCUAUCAUCCUCACGUGUCAAAAUAAAAAUAAAAUAAAAUAAAAAGUUAUUAGGUGAAAUAGCUUGUGGUUUUCGAGAUUUGCAUUACCUCUUCUUUUACUGAAAUUGAUUUGAAAACAUCUAGAUCACAAUUAUUGCUUCUAUUCUCAUGGAUCUAUUUUUUAAAUAUCUAUAUGCUUUCAUUGCAUGGAUUUAGAGAAGCUUAGGAUAAUUUUUGCAUUCACCUUAAUGAUUUAGGGCUUAGGAUGGUUUACCUAGCCAUUCUUAUAGUAUUUUCCUAUGGUUUUCAAUGAUCCUUGCUCAAGCUCGUAUUCCCUUGUGGCACUUUAUUCUGAGGCCUAUUUGAGUUUUUUUAUUUAUGUGUGCAUAAGAACAUUUUGGUAAAUAUGUAAGGUCACAUAAGAGCUUAUGAAUGAUUUUUAUUGAGUGAACUAAUUAAUUAAUCAAAAUCUAAUAGAACUAAUUAAUUAAUAAGGACCUAGAGGGCUAUUUUAAGUGACCUAAACCUAAGACAAGUUCAAGUCAGUUAAGCCAAUAGGUAAAACCUAUAUAAACCCCUUUAAGGGUUUAUGACUUGUAUCUUUUGCUAUUCAAUCUUCCAAAGAGAAGAACCCUAACCUCUAUCCCCAUAGAGAGGACCCCACCAUCCUCAUUGAUCCAAGAAAAAGAGCUAUUAGGCGGAAGAUCGCAAGAUAUUCGUGAUCUAUGUUAAGCUCUUCACAAAUAAGAGUUUAUCUAGGACCAUCCAAAUCACAUGUGUUGUUUUUUUUUUUUAGCACCUAGAUUUAUUUUUGUUUUUGUAUGCUUUGAUUGCAAUAGAUCUAGUAUAUAUAGGAUAGUUUUUUAAUGCACCCUAUUGAUUCAAGGCUUCAAACGAUUUUUUCUAGUCAUUCCAACAAGACUAGUGUCCUAUCUAGGAGGCCUCCAAGAUUUAACAACCAGAAAUCUUGUCUAAGGUGUACUCCUUAAAUGAGGUACAAUACAAUUUGAACAAUAGGAAUUUUCUCUAAAAGACAAAAGAAUAGAAGGUCACUUCCAAAAAGGUUGCUAGAAAAUUGUAAUAGUAAAUAUGGUUGCAAGAAGACAAUAGUAGUGCUAUGGUGACUUGGUUGCAACAAUGCUAUGAUGUCUCGACUAUUGUAAUGUUAUGGUGGCUCAACUAUAAUUGUGUCAAUGGGACAAUGAUAGAUCAUUGCAGUUGUUUAAGAUUGCCAGAUCGGUUGGAUUGCAUUAGUGAAUCAAAUAAGAGAUUGCAGUAGUCGCUCGAAACAGAGAAUCAAAAAUUAAAAUGAUGGAUUAUAAAGCAGGGCCACAACGAUUUGUGUGAUGGAUUGUAAAAAAGGACGACAAUAGUCAGCAAUUAAUAAAGAAGUCGUUAGAAAUAGAGACAAAUAACAAAUUAAGAAACAAAAUAUUUUUUUGUGGACUCUGAGGUAGGGCUUUUAUAUGUAGAGUUCUAACACGACUCUCUUAUAGAAGUUGAACAACUCAAAAUGUUUAAAUGAAAUUAACUUAAAUUAAUUAAAUAUGGAUUUAACGAUUCAACUUCACUAAAACCUCUAAUUAGAGAAUGACUUAAUCAUACUUUAAUUGGGGAUUAAUUAGUUAAACCCAAAAUUAAAAAAAAAUGAUAAAAUUUAAUUACUUUCAACUUUGAAAAAUUCGUUUGGAAUUGUGCAUGUAUGUAGGGGGUCCUUCUACAUUUGAUGCAUGAGGACGAUGCACAUUAAGGUUUCUAGAUUGAGCCAACUAAAAAAUCCCACUAGAUGAGCUUAAGCCUCAUAGGUGUAUGAGACUCAAACUUCCCUUUCCACAAGCCCAAGAGACUAUGGAAGUAAGACACAAUAUAAGUUGCAAAAAGUUUCAAUCAUUUUCCAAUGUGGGAUUGACAACUUUAUGCACUUCAACACGAACACACACACAUGCACUUUUCCAAAAUACCUAACCUUAGACUUGAAGUUGUUUUAGGUCCAAUAGUGUGCCUUCAAACUUAGGUUUUGAGCUUUUUGAGCUUCAAGGCCACUUGGUUCCAACU